UUUUGGUUGUGUUUUUUUGUGUUUAAUUAGUGUUUGUGCCAAGUAGAACCGUCGGGAAGACUUGGGGAAAGUCUUAUUACACUUGCUGUAAAAAACAGAAACUUUAGCGCUCACGAGAACUGCUGCCAUUUUUAUUUGGAAAGUGAUAUUUAGUUAAUUAUUUUUUCAGAUUAUUAAUAGAUAAAUUCCUCACGUCCAGCAAUUUAUUUUAGAAUUUUUGGGGUUCCAGAUCUUGCGUUAGCUACAGAUUACUACAGACUGUUCUGUUUUUGACAGAUUCUGUUUUUUUUUGUGUUGUUUGCUUAUUUUGAUGAAUCUAUGGUUAGUAAAAUAGUUUAUAAACCAUAGAAAAGUUGGAAUACAGUAUGUAUAACACCAAUAUAAAUAAAUAAUGAGUUCAUUAUAGUACCUUGAAGUGGUCUUUUAUUUUCUUUCGCUAACGGAGCUCACGAGAUUUUCUACUUUAAGUUUUGUGUUGUGAAGUUUUCAAGUUUUUGAUAAAGAUUUGAUGGAUUAUGGAACAAGGAGUGAAAAAAGCCUAAGCUUGGGGAUGCCCAUGGAACCCUUAAGAUAAUCUAAGGACACCUAAAAGCCAAAGCUUGGGGAUGCCCCGGAAGGCAUCCCCUCUUUCGUCUACUUCUAUCGGUAACUUUACUUAGAGCUAUAUUUUUAUUCGCCACAUGAUAUGUGUUUUGCUUGGAGCGUCUUGUAUUAUUUGAGUCUUUAUUUUCUAGUUUACCACAAUCAUCCGUGCUGUAUACACCUUUUGAGAGAGCCAUACAUGAUUUGGAAUUUGUUAGAAUACUCUAUGUGCUUCGCUUAUAUCUUUUGAUUUAUAUAGUUUUGCUCUAGUACUUCACUUAUAUCUUUUAGAGCACGGUGGUGGAUUUGUUUUAUAGAAACUAUUGAUCUCUCAUGCUUCACUUAGAUUAUUUUGAGAGUCUUAAAUAGGAUGGUAAUUUUAUUAAAAUCCUAAUAUGCUAGGUAUUCAAGAUUAGUAAAAUUUUCUUAAGAGUGUUUUGAAUACUAAGAGAAGUUUGAUGCUUGAUGAUUGUUUUAAGAUAUGGAGGUAAUAAUAUCAAAGUCGUGCUAGUUGAGUAGUUGUGAAAUUAAGAAAUACUUGUGUUGAAGUUUGCAAGUCCCGUAACAUGCAUGUAUGGUAAACGUUAUGUAACAAAUUUGAAACAUGAGGUGUUAUUUGAUUGUCCUCCUUAUGAGUGGCGGUCGGGGGCGAGCGAUGGUCUUUUCCUUCCAAUCUAUCCCCCUAGGAGCAUGCACGUAGUACCGAGGUUUUUGAUGACUUGUAGAUUUUUGCAAUAAGUAUGUGAGUUCUUUAUGACUAAUGUUGAGUCCAUGGAUUAUACGCACUCUCACCCUUCCAUCCUUGCUAGCCUCUUCGGUACCGUGCAUUGCCCUUUCUCACAUUGAGAGUUGGUGCAAACUUUGCCGGUGCAUCCAAUCCCCGUGAUAUGAUACGCUCUUUCACAUAUAAAUCUCCUUAUAUCUUCCUCAAAACAGCCACCAUACCUACCUAUUAUGGCAUUUCCAUAGCCAUUCCGAGAUAUAUUGCCAUGUAACCUUUCACCAUUCUAUUUAUCAUGACACAUUCAUCAUUGUCAUAUUGCUUAGCAUGAUCAUGUAGUUGACAUAGUAUUUGUGGCAAAGCCACCGUUCAUAAUUCUUUCAUACAUGUCACUCUUGGUCCAUUGCAUAUCCCGAUACACCUCCGGAGGCAUUCAUAUAGAGUCAUCUUUUGUUCUAGUAUCGAGUUGUAAUCAUUGAGUUGUAAAUAAAUAGAAGUGUGAUGAUCAUCAUUUUCUAGAACAUUGUCCCAAGUGAGGAAUUAUCAUAAAAAAGAGAAAGGCCAUAAAAAGGGAGGAAGGCCAUAAAAAGAGAAGGCCCAUAAAAAAUGAGAGAAAAAGAGAGAAGGAACAAUGUUACUAUCCUUUGCCACACUUGUGCUUCAAAGUAGCACCUUAAUCUUCAUGAUAGAGAGUCUCUUGUUUUAUCACUUUCAUAUACUAGUGGGAAUUUUCGUUAUAGAACUUGGCUUGUAUAUUCCAACAAUGGGCCUCCUCAAGUGCCCUAGGUCUUCGUGGGCAAGCAAGUUGGAUGCACACCCACUUAGUCUUCUUUUGUUGAGCUUUCAUACAUUUAUAACUCUAGUGCAUCCGUUGCAUGGCAAUCCCUACUCCUUGCAUUAACAUCAAUCGAUGGGCAUCUCCAUAGCCCAUUGAUUAGCCUCGUUGAUGUGAGACUUUCUCCCUUUUUGUCUUCUCCACAUAACCCCCCUCAUUAUAUUCUAUUCCAUCCAUAGUGCUAUGUCCAUGGCUCGCGCUCAUAUAUUGCGUGAAAGUUUAUAGGUUUGAGAUUACUAAAGUAUGAAACAAUUGCUUGGCUUGUCAUCGGGGUUGUGCAUGAUGAGAGCAUUCUUGUGUGACGAAAAUGAAACAUGACUAAACUAUAUGAUUUUGUAGGGAUGAACUUUCUUUGGCCAUGUUAUUUUGAGAAGACAUAAUUGCUUAAUUAGUAUGCUUGAAGUAUUAUUAUUUUUUAUGUCAAUAUGAACUUUUGUCUUGAAUCUUUCGGAUCUGAAUAUUCAUACCACAAUUAAGAAGAAUUACAUUAAAAUUAUGCCAAGUAACACUCCGCGUCAAAAAUUCUGUUUUUAUCAUUUACCUACUCGAGGACGAGCAGGAAUUAAGCUUGGGGGUGCUUGAUACGUCUCCAACGUAUCUAUAAUUUUUGAUCGCUCCAUGCUAUAUUAUCUACUAUUUUGGACAUUAUUGAGCUUUAUUAUCCACUUUUAUAUUAUUUUUGGGACUAACCUAUUAAUUGGAGGCCCAGCCCAGAAUUGCUGUCUUUUGCCUGUUUUAGGGUUUUGAAGAAAAGGAAUAUCAAACGGAGUCCAAACGGAAUGAAACCUUCGGGAACGUGAUUUUCUUAACGAACAAGACCCAGGAGACUUUGACCCUACGUCAAGACACAAAAGAGGAGGCCACGAGGUAGGGGCGCGCCUACUCCCCCCCAGGCGCGCCCUCCACCCUCGUGGGCCCCCUGUUGCUCCACCGACGUACUCCUUCCUCCUAUAUAUACCUACGUGCCCCCAAACGAUCAGAUACGGAGCCAAAUCCCUAAUUCCACAGCCGCAACUGUCUGUAUCCAUGAGAUCCCAUAUUGGGGCCUGUUUCGGAGCUCCGUCGGAGGGGGCAUCGAUCACGGAGGGCUUCUACAUCAACACCAUAGCCCCUCCGAUGAAGUGGGAGUAGUUCACCUCAGACCUACGGGUCCAUAGUUAUUAGCUAGAUGGCUUAUUCUCUCUUUUUGGAUCUCAAUACAAUGUUCCCCCCCUCUCUUGUGGAGAACUAUUCGAUGUAAUCUUCUUUUUGCGGUGUGUUUGUUGAGACCGAUGAAUUGUGGGUUUAUGAUCAAGUCUAUCUAUGAAUAAUAUUUGAAUCUUCUCUGAAUUCUUUUAUGUAUGAUUGGUUAUCUUUGCAAGUCUCUUCAAAUUAUCAGUUUGGUUUGGCCUACUAGAUUGAUCUUUCUUGCAAUGGGAGAAGUGCUUAGCUUUGGGUUCAAUCUUGUGGUGUCCUUUCCCAGUGACAGUAAGGGCAGCAAGGCAUGUAUUGUAUUGUUGCCAUCGAGGAUAACAAGAUGGGGUUUUCAUCAUAUUGCAUGAGUCUAUCCCUCUACAUCAUGUCAUCUUGCUUAAGGCGUUACUCUGUUUUUAACUUAAUACUCUAGAUGCAUGCUGGAUAGCUGUCGAUGAGUGGAGUAAUAGUAGUAGAUGCAGGCAGGAGUCGGUCUACUUGUCUCGGACGUGAUGCCUAUAUACAUGAUCAUACCUAGAUAUUCUCAUAACUAUGCUCAAUUCUGUCAAUUGCUCAACAGUAAUUUGUUCAUCCACCGUAGAAUACUUAUGCUCUCGAGAGAAGCCACUAGUGAAACCUAUGGCCCCGGGGUCUAUCUUUAUCAUAUUAAUCUCCUACUACUUAGUUAUUUCCUUUGCUUUUUUACUUUGCCUUUAUUUUACUUUGCAUCUUCAUCACAAAAGUAUCAAAAAUAUUAUCUUAUCAUAUCUAUCAGAUCUCACUCUCGUAAGUGGCCAUGUAGGGAUUGACAGCCCCUAUUCGCGUUGGUUGCGAGGAUUUAUUUGUUUUGUGCAGGUACGAGGGACUCGCGUGUAGCCUCCUACUGGAUUGAUACCUUGGUUCUCAAAAAUUGAGGGAAAACUUACGCUACUUUGCUGCAUCAUCCCUUCCUCUUCGGGGAAAACCAACGCAGUGCUCAAGAGGUAGCAAGGAGGUCAAGGAAGAAGAAGAAGGAGGGGGGCUCUCUCCCCCUCGCUUCCGGUGGCACCGGAGUGCCACUGGGGGCCAUCAUCAUCACCCUAAUCUUCACCAACAACUUCACCACCAUCAUCACCAACUCUUCCCCCCUCUAUGCAGCGGUGUAACCUCUCUCUUACUCGCUGUAAUCUCUACUUAAACACGGUGCUCAACGCUAUAUAUUAUUUCCCAAUGAUGUAUGGCUAUCCUAUGAUGUUUGAGUAGAUCCAUUUUGUCCUAUGGGCUAUUUGAUGAUCAAGAUUGGUUUGAGUUGCAUGUUUUAUUAUUGGUGCUGUCCUAUGGUGCUCUCCGUGUAGCGCAAGCAUGAGGGAUCCCCGCUGCAGGGUGUUGCAGUACGUUCAUGAUUCGCUUAUAGUGGGUUGCGUGAGUGACUGAAACACAAACCCGAGUAAGGGGUUGUUGCGUAUGGGAUAAAGAGGACUUGAUGCUUUAAUGAUAUGGUUGGGUUUUACCUUAAUGAUCUUUAGUAGUUGCGGAUGCUUGCUAGAGUUCCAAUCAUAAGUGCAUAUGAUCCGAGUAGAGAAAGUAUGUUACCUUAUGCCUCUCCCUCAUAUAAAAUUGCAAUAAUGAUUACCGGUCUAGUUAUCGAUUGCCUAGGGACAAAUAACUUUCUCGUAACAAAAAGCUCUUUACUAAAACUAAUUUAGUUGUGUCUUUAUCUAAACAGCCCCUAGCUUUUAUUUACAUGCUCUUUAUUAUCUUGUGAACAUAUCCAACAACACCUAUAAAGUACUUCUAGUUUCAUACUUGUUCUAGGUAAAGCGAACAUCAAGCGUGCGUAGAGUUGUAUCGGUGGUCGAUAGAACUUGAGGGAAUAUUUGUUCUGCCUUUAGCUCCUCGUUGGGUUCGACACUCUUACUUAUCGAAAAUUGUUGCGAUCCCCUAUACUUGUGGGUUAUCCAUGUGCGUAGGAUUUUUUUUUGAAAUUACUACGUUCCCCAACAGUGGCAUCCGAGCCUGAUUUAUGCAUAGAUGUUAUAUGCACGAGUAGAACACAAGUGAGUUGUGGACGAUACAAGUCAUACUGCUUACCAGCAUGUCACACUUCAGUUCGGCGGUAUUGUUGGAUGAAGCGGCCCGGACCGACAUACGCGUAAGCUUACGCGAGACUGGUUCUACCGACGUGCUUUGCACACAGGUGGCUGGUGGGUGUCAGUUUUUCCAACUUUAGUUGAAUCGAGUGUGGCUAUGCCCGGUCCUUGAGAAGGUUAAAACAUCACUAACUUGACAAACUAUCGUUGUGGUUUUGAUGCGUAGGUAAGAACGGUUCUUGCUCAGCCCGUAGCAGCUAUGUAAAACUUGCAACAACAAAGUAGAGGACGUCUAACUUGUUUUUGCAGGGCAUGUUGUGAUGUGAUAUGGUCAAGACAUGAUGCUAUAUUUUAUUAUAUGAGAUGAUCAUGUUUUGUAACCGAGUUAUCGGCAACUAACAGGAGCCAUAUGGUUGUCGCUUUAUUGUAUGCAAUGCAAUCGCCCUGUAAUGGCUUCACUUUAUCACUAAGCGGUAGCGAUAGUCGUAGAAGCAAUAUUUGGCGAGACGACAACGAUGCUAGGAUGGAGAUCAAGGUGUCGCGCCGGUGACGAUGGUGAUCAUGACGGUGCUUUGGAGAUGGAGAUCACAAGCACAAGAUGAUGAUGGCCAUAUCAUAUCACUUAUAUUGAUUGCAUAUGAUGUUUAUCCUUUAUGCAUCUUAUUUUACUUAGUUCGGCGGUAGCAUUAUAAGAUGAUCUCUCUCUAAAUUUCAAGGUAUAAGUGUUCUCCCUGAGUAUGCGCGACAGUUCUUCAUGCUGAGACUCCACGUGAUGAUCGGGUGUGAUAAGCUCUACGUUCACAUACAAUGGGUGCAAGCCAGUUUUGCACACGCAGAAUACUUGGGUUAAACUUGACGAGCCUAGCAUAUGCAGAUAUGGCCUCGGAACACUGGAGACCGAAAGGUCGAGCGUGAAUCAUAUAGUAGAUAUGGUCAACAUAGUGAUGUUCACCAUUGAAAACUACUCCAUCUCACGUGAUGACCGGACAUGGUUUAGUUGAUUUGGAUCACGUGAUCAUUUAGAUGACUAGAGAUAUGUCUAUCUAAGUGGGAGUUCUUAAGUAAUAUGAUUAAUUGAACUUUAAUUUAUCAUGAACUUAGUCCUGAUAGUAUUUGCAUAACUAUGUUGUAGAUCAAUAUCUCGCGAUGUAGCUCCCCGUUUAUUUUUGAUAUGUUCCUAGAGAAAAACUAUGUUGAAAAAUGAUAGUAGCAAUGAUGCGGACUAGUUCCGUGAUCUGAGGAUUAUCCUCAUUGCUGCACAGAAGAAUUGUGUCCUUGAUGCACCGCUAGGUGACGGACCUAUUGUAGGAGCAGAUACAGACGUUAUGAACGUUUUGGUAAAGCUCGGUAUGAUGACUACUUGAUAGUUUAGUGCACCAUGCUUUACGGCUUAGAACCAGGACUUCAAAAACGUUUUGAACGCCACAUAGCAUAUAAGAUGUUCUAAGAGUUGAAAUUGGUAUUUCAUACUCAUGCCCGUAUCGAGAGGUAGAAGACCUCUGAUGGUACUUUGCCUACAAGAUGGAGGAGAAUAGCUCAACUAGUGAGCAUGUGCUCAGAUUGUCUGGGUACUACAAUUGCUUGAAUCAAAUGGGAGUUAAUCUUCCAGAUAAGAUAGUAAUUGACAAAGUUCUCUAGUCACUAUCACCAAGUUACUAGAACUUAGUGAUGAACUAUAAUAUGCAAGGGAUAAAGAAAGUAAUUCCCAAGCUCUUCGCGAUGCUGAAAUCGGCGAAGGUAGAAAUCAAGAAAUAGCAUCAAGUGUUGAUGGUUGACAAGACCACUAGUUUCAAGUAAAAGGGCAAAGGGAAAGAAAGGGAACUUCAAGAAUAAUGGCAAGCAAGUUGCCACUCCCAUGAAGAAGCGCAAAGCUAGACCCAAGCCUGAAACUGAGUGCUUCUACUGCAAAGGAAAUGGUCACUGGAAGUGGAACUGCCCUAGAUACUUGGUGGAUAAGAAGGUUGGCAAAGUGAACAAAGGUAUAUUUGAUAUACAUGUUAUUGAUGUGUACUUCACUAGUGUUUAUAGCAAACUCCUCGGUAUUUGAUACUAGUUCAGUUGCUAAGAGUAGUAACUCGAAAAGGGAGUUGCAAAAUAAACGAAGACUAGUUGAGGACGAGGUGGCGAUGUGUGUUGGAAGUAAUUCCAAGGUUGAUAAGAUCACCAUCGCACACUCCCUUUACAUUCGGGAUUAGUGUUGAACCUAAAAUAAAUGUUAUUUGGUGUUUGCAUUGAGCAUAAUAUGAUUGGAUCAUGUUUAUUGCAAUACGGUUAUUCAUUCAAGUCAAAGAAUAAUUGUUAUUCUGUUUACAUGAAUAAAACCUUCUGUGGUCAUACACCCAAGGUGAAUGAUUUAUUGAAUCUCGAUCGUAGUGCUACACAUAUUUAUAAUAUUGAAGCCAAAAGAUGAAAAAAUAAUAAUGAUAGUGCAACUUAUUUGUGGCACUGCCGUUUAGGUCAUAUUGGUGUAAAGCGCAUGAAGAAACUCCAUGCUGAUGGAAUUUUGGAAUCACUUGAUUAUGAAUCACUUGAUUCUUGUGAACCAUGCCUCAUGGGCAAGAUGACUAAGACUUUGUUCUUCGGAACAAUGGAACGAGCAACUGACUUAUUGGAAAUAAUACAUACUGAUGUAUGCAGUCCGAUGAGUGUUGAGGCUCGCGGCGGAUAUUAUUGUUUUCUAACCUUCAUAGAUGAUUUGAGCAGAUAUGGGUAUAUCUACUUGAUGAAACAUAAGUCUGAAACAUUUUUGAGAAGUUCAAAGAAUUUUAGAGUGAAGUGGAAAAUCAUCGUAACAAGAAAAUAAAGUUUCUACGAUCUGAUCGUGGAGGAGAAUAUUUGAGUUACGAGUUUGGUCUUCAUUUGAAACAAUGCGGAAUAGUUUCGCAACUCACGCCACCUGGAACACCACAGCAUAAUGGUGUGUCCGAACGUCGUAAUCGCACUUUACUAGAUAUGGUGCGAUCUAUGAUGUCUCUUACUGAUUUACCACUAUCGUUUUGGGGUUAUGCAUUAGAGACAGCUGCAUUCACGUUAAAUAGGGCACCAUCUAAAUCCGUUGAGACGACACCAUAUGAACUGUGGUUUGGCAAGAAACCAAAGUUGUCGUUUCUUAAAGUUUGGGGUUGCGAUGCUUAUGUGAAAAAGUUUCAUCCUGAUAAGCUCAAACCCAAAUCGGAGAAAUGUGUCUUCAUAGGAUACCCAAAGGAGACAGUUGGGUACACCUUCUAUCACAGAUCCGAAGGCAAGACAUUCGUUGCUAAGAAUGGUCCUUUCUAGAGAAGGAGUUUCUCUCCAAAGAAGUGAGUGGGAGGAAUGUAGAACUUGAUGAGGUAAUUGCACCUUCUCCCAAAUUGGAAAGUAGCUCAUCACAAAAAUCAGUUCUAGUGAUCUCUACACCAGUUAGUGAGGAAGCUAAUGAUGAUGAUCAUGAAACUUCAGAUCAAGUUGCUACCGAACCUCAUAGGACAACCAGAGUAUGGUCCGCACCAGAGUGGUACGGUAAUCCUUUCUGGAAGUCAUGUUACUAGACCAUGACGAACCUACGAACUAUGAGGAAUCGAUGAUGAGCCCAGAUUCCGUGAAAUGGUUUGAGGCCAUGAAAUCUGACAUGGGAUCCAUGUAUAAGAACAAAGUAUGGACUUUGAUUGACUUGCACAAUGAUCGGUGAGUCGUGAAGAAUAAAUGGAUCUUCAAGAGGAAGACGGACGCUGAUAAUAGUGUUACUAUCUACAAAGCUCGAAUUGUCGCAAAAUGUUUUUGACAAGUUCAAGGUGUUGACUACGAUGAGAUUUUCUCACUCGUAUCGAUGCUUAAAAGUCUAUCCGAAUCAUGUUAGCAGUUGCCGCAUUUUAUGAAAUCUGGCAAAUGGAUGUCAAAACUGUAUUCCUUAAUGGAUUUCUUAAAGAAGAGUUGUAUAUGAUGCAACCAGAAGGUUUUGUCGAUCCUAAAGGUGCUAACAAAGUGAGCAAGAUAUCCAUCUAUGGACUGGUGCAAGCGUCUCAGAGUUGGAAUAUAUGCUUUGAUAAAGUGAUCAAAGCAUAUGGUUUUAUACAGACUUGCGGUGAAGCCUGCAUUUACAAGAAAGUGAGUGGGAGCACUACAAAUUUCUGAUAAGUAUAUGUGAAUGACAUAUUGUUGAUCUAAAUAAUGUAGAAUUUUCUAGAAAGCAUAAAGGAGUGUUUGAAAAGAGUUUUUCAAAGAAAGACCUCGAUGAAGCUACUUACACAUUGAGUGUCAAGAUCUAUAGAGAUAGAUCAAGAUGCUUGAUAAGUUUUUUCAAUGAGUACAUACCUUGACAAGAUUUUGAAGUAGUUCAAAAUGGAAAAGUCAAAGAAGGUGUUCUUUCCUGUGUUGUAAGGUGUGAAGUUGAGUGAAGACUCAAAACCCGACCACGGCAGAAAAUAGAAAGAGAAUGAAAAGUCAUUCCCUAUGCCUCAGUCAUAGGUUCUAUAAAGUAUGCUAUGCUGUGUAUCAAUCCUAUUGUAUAUCUUAGCAUGAAUCUGGCAAGGGAGUACAAUAGUGAUCUAGGAGUAGAUCACUGGACAGCGGUCAAAAUUAUCCUUGGAAGACUAAGGAAAUAUUUCUCGGUUAUGGAGGUGAUAAAAGAGUUUGUUGUAAAGAGUUACGUCGAUGCAAGCUUUUUACAUCGAUCUAGAUGACUCUAAGUCUCAAUCUGGAUACAUAUUGAAAGUGGCAGCAAUUAGCUAGAGUAGCUCCAUGCAGAGCAUUGUAUACAUAGAAAUUUGUGAAAUACAUACGGAUCUGAAUGUUGCAGACCCGUAGACUAAAUUUCUCUCACAAGCAAAACAUGAUCACUCUUUGGGUGUUAAUCACAUAGCGACGUGAACUAGAUUAUUGACUCUAGUAAACCCUUUGGGUGUUAGUCACAUGGAGAUGUGAACUAAUCACAUAAAGAUGUGAACUAUUGGUGUUAAAUCACAUGACGAUGUGAAUUAGAUUAUUGACUCUAGUGCAAGUGGGAGACUGAAGGAAAUAUGCCCUAGAGGCAAUAAUAAAGUUAUUAUUUAUUUCCUUAUAUCAUGAUAAAUGUUUAUUAUUCAUGCUAGAAUUGUAUUAACCGGAAACUUAGUACAUGUGUGAAUACAUAGACAAACAAAGUGUCACUAGUAUGUCUCUACUUCACUAGCUCGUUGAAUCAAAGAUGGUUAAGUUUCCUAGCCAUAGACAUGAGUUGUCAUUUGAUUAACGGGAUCACAUUAUUAGAGAAUGAUGUGAUUGACUUAAGCCAUUCCGUUAGCUUAGCACGAUGAUUGUUUAGUUUGUUGCUACUGCUUUCUUCAUGACUUAUACAUGUUCCUAUGACUAUGAGAUUAUGCAACUCCCGAAUACCGGAGGAACACUCUGUGUGCUAACAAAUCUCACAACGUAACUGGGUGAUUAUAAAGGUGCUCUACAGGUGUCUCCAAUGGUACUUGUUGAGUUGGCAUAGAUCGAGAUUAGGAUUUGUCACUCCGAUUGUCGGAGAGGUAUCUCUGGGCCCACUCGGUAAUGCACAUCACUAUAAGCCUUGCAAGCAUUGUAACUAAUGAGUUAGUUGCAGGAUGAUGUAUUGCGAAACGAGUAAAGAGACUUGCCAAUAACGAGAUUGAACUAGGUAUUGAGAUACCGACGAUGGAAUCUCGGACAAGUAACAUACCGAUGACAAAGGGAACAACGUAUGUUGUUAUGCGGUUUGACCGAUAAAGAUCUUCGUAGAAUAUGUGGGAGCCAAUAUCAACAUCCAGGUUCCGCUAUUGGUUAUUGACCGGAGACGUGUCUCGGUCAUGUCUACAUAGUUCUCGAACCCGUAGGGUCCGCACGCUUAAAGUUCGGUGACGAUCGGUAUUAUGAGUUUUUGUGUUUUGAUGUACCGAAGGUAGUUCGGAGUCCCGGAUAUGAUCACGGACAUGACGAGGAGUCUCGAAAUGAUUGAGACGUAAAGAUCGAUAUAUUGGACGACUAUAUUCGGACACCGGAAGUGUUCUGGGUAGUUUCGUAGAAAACCGGAGUGUUGGAGGGUUACCGGAACCCCCCGAGAGAAAUAGUGGGCCUUAUGGGACUUAGUGGAGAGAGAGGGCUGGCCUAGGGCAGGUCGCGCGCCCUCCCCCUCUGGUCUGAAUUGGACUAGGAGAGGGGGGGCGCCCCCCUUUCCUUCUCCCUCUCCCCCUUCCUUUCCCCCCUAGUAGGACUCCUCCUGGCGUGCCUACAGGGGCCGGCCGGCCUCCCCCCUUGCUCCUUUAUAUACGGGGGUAGGGGGCACCUCUAGACACACAAGUUGAUCUGUUGAUCUCUCCCUGCCGUGUGUGGUGCCCCCCUCCACCAUAAUCCACCUCGAUCAUAUCGUAGCAGUGCUUAGGCGAAGCCCUGCAUCGGUAACAUCAUCAUCACGCCGUCGUGCUGACGAAACUCCCCCGUGAAGCUCUGCUAGAUCGGAGUUUGUGGGACGUCAUCAAGCUAAACGUGUGCUGAACUCGGAGGUGUCGUCCGUUCGAUACUUCGAUCGGUCGGAUCGUGAAGACGUACGACUACAUCAACAUCGUUGUGCUAAUGCUUCCGCUUUCGGUCUAUGAGGGUACGUGGACACACUCUCCCCUCUCGUUGCUAUGCAUCACCAUGAUCAUGUGUGUGCAUAGGAUUUUUUUUGAAAUUACUAUGUUCCCCAACAAGCACAACCCACCAACACGCGCCAGGGGCCUCUGGCCCGCCCUGGUGUCUUGUGGGUUGUGUGGGCCUCCGUUUGCGAUGAUUUGAACUCCCCAAAAUCACAUAUAUUCCAAAAUAAUUCUCCGUAAAAAUUUAUUGCAUUUGGACUUCGUUUGAUAUGGAUACUCCGCGAUACAAAAAACAUGCAGAAAAUAGGAACUGACACUGGGCACUGGAUCAAUAGGUUAGUCCAAUAAAUCAUAUAAAAAGUUACCAAAAAUAUGUGAAAGUUGUAUAAUAUUGACAUGAAACAAUCGAAAUUAUAGAUACGACUGAGACGUAUCAGCGCGUAGCACACACCAGACAAUUGGCUAGCCGUGUGCGGCGCCCCCCUCCACAGUUUACACCAUCGGUUAUAUCUUCGUAGUGCUUAGGCGAAGUCCUGCGAUGAUCACUUCACCAUUAUCGUCACCACGCCGUCGUGCUGACGAAACUCAUCUAGUACCUCGAUGUCUUGCUGGAUCAAGAAGGCGAGGGACGUCAGCGAGCUGAACGUGUGCAGAACUCGGAGGUGUCGUGCGUUUGGUACCUGAUCGGUCGGAGCUAGAAGAAAUUCGACUACAUCAACCACGUUAUCAAACGCUUCCGCUUUUGGUCUACGAGGGUACGUAGACACACUCUUCCCCUCUCGUUGCUAUGCAUCUCCUAAAUAGAUCUUGCGUGAGCGGAGGGAUUUUUUUGAAAUUGCAUGCUACGUUUUCCAACAUUGAGAAACCGGGUCAAGCCAAAGAACAACACGCAAGAAGAUGUUGAAAUCGUACACCAAUAGCCAGCCAAUAACUCUCCUUGAAAGAUACACAAAGUGGCAAUGUUUAAAGGGAACCAACAUAUUUAAGGACACAAACUCUCACGGUCUCUUCGCCAGCGUCGAAUCAGACGUCGAGGCUAGGAGUGACCAGAGAGACCUUAUUCCAACACGCCAACAUCGCCACCACCUCAUCAAUGUCACAGAGGAAACAAACACCUAAGAAAAAUAAAACGAGACAGACGGGUCCUCGCUUCUCUUGCCGCCACCGAGGCCCUCGAACGAGGAAUAAGAGGGGGGACCAAGGCGGCGGCGUGUAGGGAAGCAGUGGUGACGGCGGCAGCUGCUAUGCUGGGAGAAGGAGGAAUGUGUUCGACAUGCGCCAGGACCAAAACCUUUUUUUCUUCUUUUGAUCGGAAGACCAAAACGUUGAUAGGGUGGAUUUUGGCCACCAUACAAACACACCGUUCGUCUGUCACGUCCCCUCCACCCUAGGGCUUCCGCUGCCUCCCGUUCCGUGCAGCGCACCACCCAUCUCUCCCAACUCCAACGGUUCGCUCACGCGGUGCCCGGCGACGCACUCAAUUUUCGGGAAAGAAACGGGGGAAGCGAUCUUAAAUGGAAACCAGUCAAUCACAGGCUGGGCAGGCGGUAACUCGUAAGUCGUAACGCCUCCCUCGUGCCAGGCAAAGGCAUCUCUCUCCUCAUUCUGAUUUGAGCUCCCGCUCGACGCCUGUUUUGAAAACCCGGACCGCGUACCCUUCUCUUCUCUCAAAGCCAAGGGCACCCGCCGCCUCCUUCCAUCUUCAACCCUCCCAAACCCCCGGCCAAUCGAAGCCCGAAACUCGACGCCCAACGCAAUGGAGCCACGCGGCCGUCGCCGGAAGCAGCAGGGGGCGGCGGAGGAGAAGGAGAACACCGCCAGCGCGGCGCCGCCGGCCCCCAAGAGGCCGCGCUGCACGGAGCGCAGGGCCCUUGCCGAGCUCCCCGCCGCAUCGACCGCGAACAACGCCUCGGCGGCGCCGACGGGGGCGCCGUCGAAGCCGAUGACGCGCGCGGCGGCCAGGGAGGCGGCCGCCGCGGCGGUGGAGGAGGAGGCGAGGAGGAGGGAGGGCUCCGCCAUUGCCGCCCGCCCGGCGGCCUCGAGGCAGACGGACGCCGGGGCGGCGCAGGCGUCCGUUGGCCCGUACGUCGCGGAUAUCGACGGGUACCUGCGGUCCCUGGAGGUGAGGGUUCCUCGAUCCAUCUUCUCGUCUGACAAUGCGUGCGCAAAUCCGAGUCAUUUUAGAGGGCGGCUUAUUUAGGGGUGCGAAGUUCGUGGUGUGGUGGUGGGAUUCGGUCCUGUUGCUAUGUCAAGGUGAUAAAUGGCAUCACACAUUUUGGAAUUUCGGGGCGUUAUCUUGUAGCAGUCGUGCAUUCUGGAAUUUGGGGGAUUGGAUUGGGUUGGGGGUGAAUCAAUCAUUUUUUACUGUUAGAUUGGGACAUUUCUAGUGCUUUUCCACCUUCACUAGCAGAAAAACAAGUCUUUGGGAAAAAAAUUAUACCGUACAUGUCAUCCUUAUUGUCUGAAGGUACUAGCAUUACGAUGAAUGCAAUGAAAUAUAGCUCGGUGCUACCACGACAAAAAUGGGGACAUUAUUUGUGAUUUUGUUGCAUUUUGUGACAUUACAGGUUGAACAAUUGAGGAGGCCGAGGGAUGACUAUAUGGUGGCCAUGCAGAAAGACAUCAGCGCCACUAUGAGGGGUAUCCUAGUAGAUUGGUUGGUGGAUGUGGUUGACGAGUUCAAUCUUCUGGCUGACACGCUUUACCUUGCGGUUUCAUAUAUUGACCCCUUCCUCGCGGCGAGUGUAGUUACCCGGGACAAGCUGCAAUUGCUUGGUGUCGCUUCAUUGUUUGUUGCUGCGUAUGGGCCUAAACUUUCCUCUUAUCUCCUUUCUGCCUCUCUUUGUCAUCUCUUACCAUGACUGGCCAACUUACAACGGCCUAAAUCUAAUGCUGUAGGAAGUACGAAGAGAUUCAUGUUCCUAAGCUGGACAAAUUCAGUGACAUUACUGACGGCACAUACACCAAUCAGCAGGUAACCUUCUGCUGAACUUGCUAUUUUUGGUAAAUUUCCUAGCACUGAUGUGAAUGGUGGAGAUAAAUUUGUAAUUUGUAUGCACUGCAGGUGGUGAAGAUGGAGGCUGACAUACUGAAAUAUCUCAACUUUCAGAUGGGGAGUCCCACCGUAAGAACUUUUCUAUUGUACGUGCUCUAUCUGAAAUUUCUGCAUUAAAUUUGCACAUACCUAUCAACUAUCGUCUCUAUGUCAAGUACUCCUUCAUUCCUUGAACUAAAACCACGACAAUAAUUUUGGACCGGAGGGAAUAGUUACCAUGUUUAAAUCACAUGGGAAGUAGCAGCAUGAUUACUGCCAUAAUGGACAAAGAAUUUCAUAAGCCUAACAAUUGAUACAUGUAUUGCAGGCGAUUCUUAAUAUCUUGUUGUGGAGGCAAUGUAAGCACAUUUUUGGAGCCCUCAGCAUUUGCCUCUCUUAAUGUUAUUUUUAUAACAUGUUUCCCCCUUCAAACUUCAGUGUGCAAGUGCAAAAAGGUUGGAGCUUAUGUGUUGCUAUCUCGCGGAAUUGAGCUUGCUAGACUACGACUGCAUAAGGUUCCUGCCAUCAGUUAUUGCUGCUGCCUGUCUGUUCUUAGCCAGGUUCACAAUCAGCCCAAAGAUUUGUCCUUGGGUAAGAUUAAUCAAAUCUUGCUGAAUCAUUGAAUCUACGUUAUGCUUGGCUUUGUGUUUGUUCUGACAUUUACGUCUGCUAGAACUUUACGCUGCAAGAGAAAACGGGCUACAAGGUCUCUGAUCUCAGGAGUUGCAUCCUGAGGAUACACGAUUUGCAGUUGGGCAGACAGUAUUCAAAUCUGAAGGCCAUCAAGAGCAAGUAUAGUGAGCGCAAGGUGAUAUCCGCUCUCCCUGCUUUCUUUGGCUGUUACAUGCAUUUUCAUAAUUGUUUGUUUUUGUGACUGUACAGUUCGGGUGCGUGUCGAUGAUGGCCUCGUCGGAAGAAAUUCCGGCAUCUCUCCUCAAAGACCUCGAUAAGUGAAAGGCUGACAAUGCAACUUCAUUUCAACAUNNNNNNNNNNNNNNNNNNNNNNNNNNNNNNNNNNNNNNNNNNNNNNNNNNNNNNNNNNNNNNNNNNNNNNNNNNNNNNNNNNNNNNNNNNNNNNNNNNNNNNNNNNNNNNNNNNNNNNNNNNNNNNNNNNNNNNNNNNNNNNNNNNNNNNNNNNNNNNNNNNNNNNNNNNNNNNNNNNNNNNNNNNNNNNNNNNNNNNNNNNNNNNNNNNNNNNNNNNNNNNNNNNNNNNNNNNNNNNNNNNNNNNNNNNNNNNNNNNNNNNNNNNNNNNNNNNNNNNNNNNNNNNNNNNNNNNNNNNNNNNNNNNNNNNNNNNNNNNNNNNNNNNNNNNNNNNNNNNNNNNNNNNNNNNNNNNNNNNNNNNNNNNNNNNNNNNNNNNNNNNNNNNNNNNNNNNNNNNNNNNNNNNNNNNNNNNNNNNNNNNNNNNNNNNNNNNNNNNNNNNNNNNNNNNNNNNNCUCUAGAUCCCUUAUUCUUUUGCAGGCUAAGGCAGCAAAUUCAUUAUUAGUGGAUUAGGGGUUGAUCUAGCAAGAAUCUCUCAUGCCCGCCUGUAGGUAGUUAGUCGCGCCAUUUCGGUUGCAUUUACAGUGCAGCUAUCUAGCUGCAUCUGUAAUCCGGUAUCAACGUGUGACCGGAAUGUUUUUGUACAUAGUUUAGCAUGUUGGUGGUGCCGUGGUCAAUGAUAAAAUUCCGCUUGAAAGCUUUCAGGCCAUGUUUUUGUUGCAUACAUUGUGCUUAACGAAAGCACUGAUGAAGUGAUCAGCAUAUUCUCAAAGCUGAAAUGGGGCCAGCAAAUAUUGCACUUGCCAUCAGCAAGGGAACGUGUGCACAACAGUAAACUGAAUAAGAUCAGCCGGUAAUGUCGUACUAGUAAUUAUCAUCCAUAAAGUGCUUAAACGAUAAGAUAACUGACAGCGAUUUGAGUAACGUUCAGUAGCAAUAGGACUUCAGAAUGGUGCAGCGAUCAUUACAUAGGUAACCUAGCAAUUGCGGCUUCAGAAUGGUGUGGAUAACAGAGCUUGACGACUUCAGAAUGGUGAGGUGAACUGAGCUUGAGUUACGAACGGCGAUCAAUCCUUCUGCACCCCGCAGAAGGCCUUCAGUGGAUCACCGGACUUGCGCCCUUCCUCUGAGUGCCGGAACGUCGUGUAGCCGUCGUUGGUGCAGGGACGGUACAGCAGAGGGUGCUCGUCGUCGACGAGCUCGUCGAUGGCGCUCAGUAGGACGCCGUCCUUCCCCGGGCAGCCGAACAGCGCCGACAGGCGCUCCCGGUUGCUCGGCGUCCUCACGCGGUGGAAGCAACCCGGCACCCUCCCGUUAGUCACGACCUGCGACGGCGGUGUCAGUCAGACGCGCGUCAACCAGAGAAAGGAGAGCGCGGGCGCGCGGCCCUUAUACCGUGAACAGCUCGCCGGCGACGAAGGUGAACAAGUCCGGCUCAGGCGGCACCGCGAGCCAGAUCCCGUCCUGAACCUGCACCUCGAGGCCCUCCACGCCGUGCUGCACGAUCGCCGUCAUGAUGCUGUCGUCGCGGUGCGCCUGCAGGGACAUGUUCGUCUCCGCGUCCGGCGGGGGCCCGUAGCGCGACAGCCGGACGCUGUGGGCGAGCGUGUCCAGAUGCGCGCCGAUGCGCUCCUCCCCGACGCCCAGGCCCUCCAGGAUCAUCUUCUCCACCGUGCGCUGCAGCUCCCACACGUUCUUGGCCGCGGACGCGAUCGUGUCGCUGCACGCGGACGGCACACGGUCACCACGGGCACACCAUGCCAAAACGGAUGCACGACGGACGCAGAAGAAAAUGGUGGGCACUGCUUGGUUACCAGAAGGCGGGGUUCCCCUGCGGCCAGAGGAGGUCGGCGAAGUCGCGGACGCGGCCGGCGUCGGUGGGCUCGGAGAGGCGCACGCUCUCCCAGUUGGUGCCGGGGACGUUGGAGAUGUAGCCGCGGAAGGGGCCCACCUCGGAGACGUUCCGCUGCUUGGCCUCCGGCGGGAGCGCGAAGAUCUCCGGCAUGACGCGGCCGAACAGCGCCUGCCGGAGCUCCAGGCCGAGCGCGUCGUGCGCCACGACGACGAAGCCGUGCGCCACGACGGACGCCGUCACCGCGUCCCGGGCUUCCGCCCAGCCCGGCCCGCCGGGCUCCAGCCCGCGGAGGUCGACCCUGGCGAUCUCCAUCAGCUGCUGCCUGCUGCUGGGAGCCGUCGUCUUGGCUUGGCUUGUGUGGGAUGCUUCUGGGAUCUUGGUUUGUUCGAUGGAGACAGGUGACGGCUGGUUAUACAGGAGUAGUACAAGUCAGCGGAUUGGGUGUGGGAUAGCUGCUCAUCAUGGGCGACGCUCUUCGGUUUUUUAGUUUGGCGGACGGCUGGAUCCAUCAGAUCCCGCCGCAAAUAGCGGGGUGCGCGUCCCCUUGGGUGGAGGCCACCUUCAAUACUUUUUUUUUGAACGGUCACGGGGGAAAGUCCCCACCUAAAUAUAUUGCUUAAAGUGGCCAAAAUGCCAAGUGUUUGAUCCAGUUUAUAAGAAAAACAGGAUCGAAAACCUUAACAGGUUGACCCCGUUUAUAAGGAAAACCGGGCCAAAAAACCGCACAGGAGGGAAGGAUUACAUAGGGUGAGAACAUAUGGAGACGCCUCGAAGAAGGCACUACCUAGCCAGCAAGCCAAGAGACCACCAUCAUAAAAGUCGAGUGGAAGUGGUGUGUCGUCGAGGAAUCACAAUACCAACACUAAACAACUAUCCUAACGCACCACACCGGCGUGCGUACCAACCCCUUGGCACAACAGAGGAGCAUCAACAAUCAACGAGUGACCCAUCACGAACCUUAACUGGAAGCUUCGCCACAGCAAGCCGACACGAUUAGCAAGGUGGGGAGGCAUUGUUGGGGAAUGUAGUAAUUUAAAAAAUUUUCCUACGCACACGCAAGAUCAUGGUGAUGCAUAGCAACGAGAGGGGUAGAGUGUGAUCUACGUGCCCUUGUAGAUCGACAACGGAAGCGUUAACUUGGUUGAUGUAGUCGUACGUCUUCACGGCCCGACCGAUCAAGCACCGAAACUACGGUACCUCCGAGUUCUAGCCACGUUCAGCUCGAUGACGAUCCCCGGACUCCGAUCCAGCAAAGUGUCGGGGAAGAGUUCCGUCAGCACAAUGGCAUGGUGACGAUCUUGAUGUACUACUGUCGCAGGGCUUCGCCUAAGCACCGCUACAAUAUUAUCGAGGACUAUGGUGGAAGGGGGCACCGCACACAGCUAAGAAUAUGAUCACGUGGAUCAACUUGUGUCUCUAGGGGGUGCCCCUGCCUCCGUAUAUAAAGGCUCAAGGGAGGGGGGCCGGCCGGCCAGGAGAGGCGCGCCAGGAGGAGUCCUGCGACAGUGGAAUAGGAUUCGCGGNNNNNNNNNNNNNNNNNNNNNNNNNNNNNNNNNNNNNNNNNNNNNNNNNNNNNNNNNNNNNNNNNNNNNNNNNNNNNNNNNNNNNNNNNNNNNNNNNNNNNNNNNNNNNNNNNNNNNNNNNNNNNNNNNNNNNNNNNNNNNNNNNNNNNNNNNNNNNNNNNNNNNNNNNNNNNNNNNNNNNNNNNNNNNNNNNNNNNNNNNNNNNNNNNNNNNNNNNNNNNNNNNNNNNNNNNNNNNNNNNNNNNNNNNNNNNNNNNNNNNNNNNNNNNNNNNNNNNNNNNNNNNNNNNNNNNNNNNNNNNNNNNNNNNNNNNNNNNNNNNNNNNNNNNNNNNNNNNNNNNNNNNNNNNNNNNNNNNNNNNNNNNNNNNNNNNNNNNNNNNNNNNNNNNNNNNNNNNNNNNNNNNNNNNNNNNNNNNNNNNNNNNNNNNNNNNNNNNNNNNNNNNNNAUCUCUGGCCACCUCUCCUCUCUUCCACUAAGGCCCACUAAGGCCCAUAUACCUCCCGGGGGGUUCCGGUAACCUCCCGGUACUCCGGUAAAAUCCCGAUUUCACCCGGAACACUUCCGAUAUCCAAACAUAGGCUUCAAAUAUAUCAAUCUUUAUGUCUCGACCAUUUCGAGACUCCUCGUCAUGUCCGUGAUCAUAUCCGGGACUCCGAACAACCUUCGGUACAUCAAAGUGCAUAAACUCAUAAUAUAACUGUCAUCGUAACCUUAAGCGUGCGGACCCUACGGGUUCGAGAACAAUGUAGACAUGACCGAGACACGUCUCCGGUCAAUAACCAAUAGCGGAAUCUGGAUGCUCAUAUUGGCUCCUACAUAUUCUAUGAAGAUCUUUUAUCGGUCAGACCGCAUAACAACAUACGUUGUUCCCUUUGUCAUCGGUAUGUUACUUGCCCGAGAUUCGAUCGUCGGUAUCCUAUAGCUAGUUCAAUCUCGUUACAGGAAAGUCUCUUUACUCGUUCUGUAAUACAUCAUCCCGCAACUAACUCAUUAGUUGCAAUGCUUGCAAGGCUUAAGUGAUGUGCAUUACCGAGAGGGCCCAGAGAUACCUCUCCGACAAUCGGAGUGACAAAUCCUAAUCUCGAAAUACGCCAACCCAAUAUGUACCUUUGGAGACACCUGUAGAGCUCCUUUAUAAUCACCCAGUUACGUUGUGACGUUUGGUAGCACACAAAGUGUUCCUCUGGCAAACGGGAGUUGCAUAAUCUCAUAGUCAUAGGAACAUGUAUAAGUCAUGAAGAAAGCAAUAGCAACAUACUAAACGAUCGGGUGCUAAGCUAAUGGAAUGGGUCAUGUCAAUCAGAUCAUUCAACUAAUGAUGUGAUCCCGUUAAUCAAAUAACAACUCUUUGUCCAUGGUUAGGAAACAUAACCAUCUUUGAUUAACGAGCUAGUCAAGUAGAGGCAUACUAGUGACACUCUGUUUGUCUAUGUAUUCACACAUGUAUUAUGUUUCCGGUUAAUACAAUUCUAACAUGAAUAAUAAACUUUUAUCAUGAUAUAAGGAAAUAAAUAAUAACUUUAUUAUUGCCUCUAGGGCAUAUUUCCUUCAGUCUCCCACUUGCACUAGAGUCAAUAAUCUAGAUUACACAGUAAUGAUUCUAACACCCAUGGAGCCUUGGUGCUGAUCAUAUUUUGCUCGUGGAAGAGGCUUAGUCAACGGGUCUGCAACAUUCAGAUCCGUAUGUAUCUUGCAAAUCUCUAUGUCUCCCAUCUGGAGUAGAUCCCGGAUGGAAUUGAAGCGUCUCUUGAUGUGCUUGGUUCUCUUGUGAAAUCUGGAUUCCUUCGCCAAGGCAAUUGCACCAGUAUUGUCACAAAAGAUUUUUAUUGGACCCGAUGCACUAGGUAUGACACCUAGAUCGGAUAUGAACUCCUUCAUCCAGACUCCUUCAUUCGCUGCUUCCGAAGCAGCUAUGUAUUCCGCUUCACACGUAGAUCCCGCCAUGACGCUCUGUUUAGAACUGCACCAACUGAGAGCUCCACCGUUUAAUGUAAACACGUAUCCGGUUUGCGAUUUAGAAUCGUCCGGAUCAGUGUCAAAGCUUGCAUCAACGUAACCGUUUACGAUGAGCUCUUUGUCACCUCCAUAUACGAGAAACAUAUCCUUAGUCCUUUUCAGGUACUUCAGGAUGUUCUUGACCGCUGUCCAGUGAUCCACUCCUGGAUUACUUUGGUACCUCCCUGCUAGACUUAUAGCAAGGCACACAUCAGGUCUGGUACACAGCAUUGCAUACAUGAUAGAGCCUAUGGCUGAAGCAUAGGGAACAUCUUUCAUUUUCUCUCUAUCUUCUGCAGUGGUCGGGCAUUGAGUCUGACUCAACUUCACACCUUGUAACACAGGCAAGAACCCUUUCUUUGCUUGAUCCAUUUUGAACUUCUUCAAAAUCUUGUCAAGGUAUGUGCUUUGUGAAAGUCCAAUUAAACAUCUUGAUCUAUCUCUAUAAAUCUUUAUGCCUAAUAUGUAAGCAGCUUCACCGAGGUCUUUCAUUGAAAAACUCUUAUUCAAGUAUCCCUUUAUGCUAUCCUGAAAUUCUAUAUUAUUUCCAAUCAGUAAUAUGUCAUCCACAUAUAAUAUUAGAAAUGCUACAGAGCUCCCACUCACUUUCUUGUAAAUACAGGCUUCUCCAAAAGUCUGUAUAAAACCAAAUGCUUUGAUCACACUAUCAAAGCGUUUAUCCAACUCCGAGAGGCUUGCACCAGUCCAUAAAUGGAUCGCUGGAGCUUGCACACUUUGUUAGCUCCCUUUGGAUCGACAAAACCUUCCGGUUGCAUCAUAUACAACUCUUCUUCCAGAAAUCCAUUCAGGAAUGCAGUUUUGACAUCCAUCUGCCAAAUUUCAUAAUCAUAAAAUGCGGUAAUUGCUAACAUGAUUCGGACAGACUUAAGCAUCGCUACGGGUGAGAAGGUCUCAUCGUAGUCAACCCCUUGAACUUGCCGAAACCCUUUUGCGACAACUCGAGCUUUGUAGACAGUAAUAUUACCGUCGGCGUCAGUCUUCUUCUUGAAGAUCCAUUUAUUCUCAAUUGCUUGCCGAUCAUUGGGCAAGUCAACCAAAGUCCAUACUUUGUUCUCAUACAUGGAUCCCAUCUCAGAUUUCAUGGCUUCAAGCCAUUUUGCGGAAUCUGGGCUCACCAUCGCUUCUUCAUAGUUCGUAGGUUCAUCAUGAUCUAGUAGCAUGACUUCCAGAACAGGAUUACCGUACCACUCUGGUGCGGAUCUCACUCUGGUUAAUCUACGAGGUUCAGUAGUAUCUUGUUCUGAAGUUUCAUGAUCUUUAUCAUUAGCUUCCUCACUAAUUGGUGUAGGUGUCUCAGAAACAGGUUUCUGUGAUGUACUACUUUCCAAUAAGGGAGCAGGUACAGUUACCUCGUCAAGUUCUACUUUCCUCCCACUCACUUCUUUCGAGAGAAACUCCUUCUCCAGAAAGUUUCCGAACUUAGCAACAAAAGUCUUGCCUUCGGAUCUGUGAUAGAAGGUGUAUCCAAUAGUCUCCUUUGGAUAUCCUAUGAAGACACAUUUCUCUGAUUUGGGUUCGAGCUUAUCAGGUUGAAGCUUUUUCACAUAAGCAUCGCAGCCCCAAACUUUCAGAAACGACAACUUUGGUUUCUUGCCAAACCAUAGUUCAUAAGGCGCUGUCUCAACGGAUUUUGAUGGUGCCCUAUUUAACGUGAAUGCGGCCGUCUCCAAAGCAUAACCCCAAAAUGAUAGCGGUAAAUCAGUAAGAGACAUCAUAGAUCGCACCAUAUCUAGUAAAGUACGAUUACGACGUUCGGACACACCAUUACGCUGUGGUGUUCCGGGUAGCAUGAGUUGCGAAACUAUUCCGCAUUGUUUCAAAUGUACACCAAACUCGUAACUCAAAUAUUCUCCUCCACGAUCAGAUCGUAGAAACUUUAUUUUCUUGUUACGAUGAUUUUCAACUUCACUCUGAAAUUCUUUGAAAUUUUCAAACGUUUCAGACUUAUGUUUCAUUAAGUAGAUAUACCCAUAUCUGCUUAAAUCAUCUGUGAAGGUGAGAAAAUAACAAUAUCCGCCACGAGCCUCAAUAUUCAUCGGACCACAUACAUCUGUAUGUAUGAUUUUCAACAAAUCUGUUGCUCUUUCCAUAGUACCGGAGAACGGCGUUUUAGUCAUCUUGCCCAUGAGGCACGGUUCGCAAGUACCAAGUGAUUCAUAAUCAAGUGGUUCCAAAAGUCCAUCAGUAUGGAGUUUCUUUAUGCGCUUUACACCGAUAUGACCUAAACGGCAGUGCCACAAAUAAGUUGCACUAUCAUUAUCAACUCUGCAUCUUUUGGCUUCAACAUUAUGAAUAUGUGUGUUACUACUAUCGAGAUUCAAUAAGAAUAGACCACUCUUCAAGGGUGCAUGACCAUAAAAGAUAUUACUCAUAUAAAUAGAACAACCAUUAUUCUCUGAUUUAAAUAAAUAACCGUCUCGCAUCAAACAAGAUCCAGAUAUAAUGUUCAUGCUUAACGCUGGCACCAAAUAACAAUUAUUUAGGUGUAAUAUUAAUCCCGAAGGUAGAUGUAGAGGUAGCGUGCCGACCGCGAUCACAUCGACUUUGGAACCGUUUCCCACGCGCAUCAUCACCUCGUCCUUAGCCAAUCUUCGCUUAAUCCGUAGUCCUUGUUUCGAGUUAUAAAUAUUAGCAACAGAACCAGUAUCAAAUACCCAGGUGCUACUGCGAGCAUUAGUAAGGUACACAUCAAUAACAUGCAUAUCACAUAUACCUUUGUUCACCUUGCCAUCCUUCUUAUCCGCCAAAUACUUGGGGCAGUUCCGCUUCCAGUGACCAGUCUGCUUGCAGUAGAAGCACUCAGUUUCAGGCUUAGGUCCUGACUUGGGUUUCUUCUCUUGAGCAGCAACUUGCUUGCUGUUCUUCUUGAAGUUCCCCUUCUUCUUCCCUUUGCUCUUUUUCUUGAAACUAGUGGUCUUGUUGACCAUCAACACUUGAUGCUCCUUUUUGAUUUCUACCUCCGCAGCUUUCAGCAUUGCGAAGAGCUCGGGAAUAGUCUUAUUCAUCCCUUGCAUAUUAUAGUUCAUCACGAAGCUCUUGUAGCUUGGUGGCAGUGAUUGGAGAAUUCUGUCAAUGACGCAAUCAUCUGGAAGAUUAACUCCCAUUUGAAUCAAGUGAUUAUUAUACCCAGACAUUUUGAGUAUAUGCUCACUGACAGAACUGUUCUCCUCCAUCUUGCAGCUAUAGAACUUAUCGGAGACUUCAUAUCUCCCAAUCCGGGCAUUUGCUUGAAAUAUUAACUUCAACUCCUGGAACAUCUCAUAUGCUCCAUGACGUUCAAAACAUCGUUGAAGUCCCGGUUCUAAGCCGUAAAGCAUGGCACACUGAACUAUCGAGUAGUCAUCAGCUUUGCUCUGCCAGACGUUCACAACAUCUGGUGUUGCUCCAGCAGCAGGCCUGGCACCCAGCGGUGCUUCCAGGACGUAAUUCUUCUGUGCAGCAAUGAGGAUAAUCCUCAAGUUACGGACCCAAUCCGUGUAAUUGCUACCAUCAUCUUUCAACUUUGCUUUCUCAGGAACGCAUUAAAAUUCAACGGAACAACAGCACGGGCCAUUUAUCUACAAUCAUACAUAAAACAAGCAAGAUACUAUCAGGUACUAAGUUCAUGAUAAAUUUAGGUUCAAUUAAUCAUAUUACUUAAAGAACUCCCACUUAGAUAGACAUCCCUCUAAUUCUCUAAGUGAUCACGUGAUCCAAAUCAACUAAACCAUGUCCGAUCAUCACGUGAGAUGGAGUAGUUUCAUUGGUGAACAUCACUAUGUUGAUCAUAUCUACUAUAUGAUUCACGCUCGACCUUUCGGUCUCCGUGUUUCGAGGCCAUAUCUGUAUAUGCUUGGCUCGUCAAGUAUAACCUGAGUAUUCCGCGUGUGCAACUGUUUUGCACCCGUUGUAUUUGAACAUAGAGCCUAUCACACCCGAUCAUCACGUGGUGUCUCAGCACGAAAAACUUUCGCAACGGUGCAUACUCAGGGAGAACACUUCUUGAUAAUUUAGUAAGAGAUCAUCUUAUAAUGCUACCGUCAAUCAAAGCAAGAUAAGAUGCAUAAAAGAUAAACAUCACAUGCAAUCAAUAUAAGUGAUAUGAUAUGGCCAUCAUCAUCUUGUGCUUGUGAUCUCCAUCUCCGAAGCACCGUCAUGAUCACCAUCGUCACCGGCGUGACACCUUGAUCUCCAUCAUAGCAUCGUUGUCGUCUCGCCAAUCUUAUGCUUCCACGACUAUCGCUACCGCUUAGUGAUAAAGUAAAGCAUUACAGCGCGAUUGCAUUGCAUACAAUAAAGCGACAACCAUAUGGCUCCUGCCAGUUGCCGAUAACUCGGUUACAAAACAUGAUCAUCUCAUACAAUAAAAUUUAGCAUCAUGUCUUGACCAUAUCACAUCACAACAUGCCCUGCAAAAACAAGUUAGACGUCCUCUACUUUGUUGUUGCAUGUUUUACGUGGCUGCUACGGGCUUAAGCAAGAACUAAUCUUACCUACGCAUUAAAACCACAAUGAUAGUUUGUCAAGUUGGUGCUAUUUUAACCUUCACAAGGACCGGGUGUAGCCACACUCGGUUCAACUAAAGUUGGAGAAACUGUCACCCGCAAGCCACCUAUGUGCAAAGCACGUCGGGAGAACCGGUCUCGCGUAAGUGUACACGUAAUGUCGGUCCGGGCCGCUUCGUCCAACAAUACCGCCGAACCAAAGUAUGACAUGCUGGUAAGCAGUAUGACUUAUAUCGCCCACAACUCACUUGUGUUCUACUCGUGCAUAUAACAUCAACAUAUAAAACCUAGGCUUGGAUGCCACUGUUGGGGAACGUAGUAAUUUCAAAAAAAUUCCUACGCACACGCAAGAUCAUGGUGAUGCAUAGCAACGAGAGGGGGAGAGUGUGAUCUACGUACCCUUGUAGAUCGACAACGGAAGCGUUAACUUGGUUGAUGUAGUCGUACGUCUUCACGGCCCGACCGAUCAAGCACCGAAACUACGGUACCUCCGAGUUCUAGCACACGUUCAGCUCGAUGACGAUCCCCGGACUCCGAUCCAGCAAAGUGUCGGGGAAGAGUUUCGUCAGCACGACGACGUGGUGACGAUCUUGAUGUACUACUGUCGCAGGGCUUCGCCUAAGCACCGCUACAAUAUUAUCGAGGACUAUGGUGGAAGAGGGCACCGCACACAACUAAGAAUAUGAUCACGUGGAUCAACUUGUGUCUCUAGGGGGUGCCCCUGCCUCCGUAUAUAAAGGCUCAAGGGAGGGGGGCCGGCCGGCCAGGAGAGGCGCGCCAGGAGGAGUCCUACUCCCGGAGGGAGUAGGACUCCCCCCUUUCCUAGUUGGAAUAGGAUUCGCGGAGGGGGGGGGAAGAGGAGAGAGAGGAGGAAGGGGGGCCGACCCCCUCUCCUUGUCCAAUUCGGACCAAGGGGGGGAGGGGCGCGCGGCCCAUCUCUGGCCACCUCUCCUCUCUUCCACUAAGGCCCACUAAGGCCCAUAUACCUCCCGGGGGGUUCCGGUAACCUCCCGGUACUCCGGUAAAAUCCCGAUUUCACCCGGAACACUUCCGAUAUCCAAACAUAGGCUUCCAAUAUAUCAAUCUUUAUGUCUCGACCAUUUCGAGACUCCUCGUCAUGUCCGUGAUCACAUCCGGGACUCUGAACAACUUUCGGUACAUCAAAAUGCAUAAACUCAUAAUAUAACUGUCAUCGUAACCUUAAGCGUGCGGACCCUACGGGUUCGAGAACAAUGUAGACAUGACCGAGACACGUCUCCGGUCAAUAACCAAUUGCGGAAUCUGGAUGCUCAUAUUGGCUCCUACAUAUUCUAUGAAGAUCUUUUAUCGGUCAGACCGCAUAACAACAUACGUUGUUCCCUUUGUCAUCGGUAUGUUACUUGCCCGAGAUUCAAUUGUCGGUAUCCUAUACCUAGUUCAAUCUCGUUACAGGCAAGUCUCUUUACUCGUUCUGUAAUACAUCAUCCCGCAACUAACUCAUUAGUUGCAAUGCUUGCAAGGCUUAAGUGAUGUGCAUUACCGAGAGGGCCCAGAGAUACCUCUCCGACAAUCGGAGUGACAAAUCCUGAUCUCGAAAUACGCCAACCCAACAUGUACCUUUGGAGACACCUGUAGAGCUCCUUUAUAAUCACCCAGUUACAUUGUGACGUUUGGUAGCACACAAAGUGUUCCUCUGGCAAACGGGAGUUGCAUAAUCUCAUAGUCAUAGGAACAUGUAUAAGUCAUGAAGAAAGCAAUAGCAACAUACUAAACGAUCGGGUGCUAAGCUAAUGGAAUGGAUCAUGUCAAUCAGAUCAUUCAACUAAUGAUGUGAUCCCAUUAAUCAAUAACAACUCUUUGUCCAUGGUUAGGAAACAUAACCAUCUUUGAUUAAUGAGCUAGUCAAGUAGAGGCAUACUAGUGACACUCUGUUUGUCUAUGUAUUCACACAUGUAUUAUGUUUCCGGUUAAUACAAUUCUAGCAUGAAUAAUAAACUUUUAUCAUGAUAUAAGGAAAUAAAUAAUAACUUUAUUAUUGCCUCUAGGGCAUAUUUCCUUCAGGCAUCGUUGCGUCAUAGUUGAGCAAAGAUGAACCGAGAUAGCACGAAGAGCACGAAGCUCACCAAAACAGACGACAAACAUGAGAGGGUCUUGAGCUCGGAGAGCAGAGGAUGACCAACCUCUAAGGGCAACGGAGGAUGAAUGGCGGCAAGGAGAUCCCUAGUGACGCCUUCAAGAAGGUGGACGACAUCCGAGGAUGACGCCGUCACAGAGCUUUCGCCUGGAGCAUAACCGGUUAAAUUCCCAGAUGGCAGAGCCGAGAGCUGCGAAUCCGGACCGAGAGACAGGAGUGGCACACGAGCCACGCCCCCAAGAGGGUAAGCGACGCUGGAGUAGCGCCGCCGUGGUCAGCUGACAAGGUCAGCGGGGAUUUCCCCCGUAGCACAUCCGUCAAUGGUGGGCCGCCAUCCAAGUGAAGACGAGGGGCGACAGAGGACAAGACCGAGACAGACAUGUGAGGCGGAUGGUGAACAGAGGAAGGACGAGUGGAGCAGGCCGCCGGUGAGGAGGGUGGAGACGAGGUGGGGUAGUGGAGUAGCGGGGACCGCUGUACCAUGACAGAGGGGUGGGGGCACUGCCGAGUGGAGGUUCUUCCCGGCAGGAACCGUCGGCGUCGGAGGUGGACAGAGGGUGGGGCACCCGAGUGGAGGUUCUUCCCGACAGGAACCUGCGGUGGCGGAGGCGAGGAGGCCAGGAGGGGUCCGACGCUGGAUCCACCGGACCAGUCGCAGCCCAUCCGUGACGGGCGCGCAGGGGUGCGGGGGCGGGGAGGGCGAGCAGGGUGGAGGCGUGGGACGGGUCGUCGAUGUGGAGGGGAGGGCGCGCCGGCGCCGGGUCUGCGGCCGCCCAGCUCGGGUCACGCAGGAGGACGGGGGCGAGGAGGAUCCGUGGGGAGCGAGGCGAGGUGGAGCGGGGUGCAUCAUCCGCCGGAGAGGAUAGGCGUGGCGAGGGGAGCUAUGGGUGCUGCGAGCCGAGGGAGAGCCGGAUCCGCACCCGGCACCGCCAGAUCUGUCGCCGGCCAGUCGAAAACGGACGUCCAGGAGGCCGAAAUGCGGCCGCGGGCGCCAGGGGCCAGGCCGCCCGCCCACCAAGCGCCCAUCACAGAGAGCAGUGCCCCGCCACCGCCGUUGGCCGCGUGGGAUUCUCCCGGUGGCGUCUUUCGGCGGCGGCGAGGGGGGAGAGGUGGGAGACGGGGUGGCGACGGCUAGGUUUUCGGUCGCCGUCCGAGUCGCCCUGGUGAGAGAGAGCGACACGGAGACCUUCAAUACUUUUCACUCCGCAAAUACGCAAGAGCGUUGCGUAUUAACGCAUUGUGCAGACAGCUAAGAAGAAACGAAUUGUGCAUAUAGAAGGAUUAGGGACCCUUAAAAUGGACAUAUAGUAUUUGUCCGUGGUCGCCUGACGUUUUUGCGGACACCUGUACAAGGCCAUCUAUCCAGCAUUUUCCCUAGACCUUCGUCCGCAAUACAUUUUUUAAACGGAUGGGCAAAUAUCAUGCAAACACGACCGUAUUCAUGCAAACCUUGACGCGGUGGAGAGGCGACGACGUCGGCUCCACCUUCACGCAGUGGAGUGGCGGCGCUGGACCAUGGUACUUGAGCGAUCGCUAGAGGAGGAGCUCCAGGUGCGCCUGCUACUCCUCCAUCACGGCAACCACCAUGAUGAGGCGCGACUACUGCUGCGACUCCUCGUCAUCGGGGAAGAGGAUGAUCUCCUCCUUCCCGAAGGAGGCGGUCGCCGUGGAGGUCGAUGGCCUAGGAGAGCGAUGGCGGUGACUCCACGAUCCGGGUCCGGAGCCACCCGUCGAUGCGGAGAACCAUGACAUUGGCACCAUCAAAGAAAAGAGAGGAGGGUCGACGACGGUGAGGGGAGAGAAGCGGAGCUGUGAUGGGGAAAAGAGAUAUGAGAUUGUGAUGCGAACGGCGUCGAGCCAUGCUUAAAUAGUCGCGCCCAGGUGGACGGGCAACUGGAUUCAAUGUGGCACACCGGCCGGAGUAGGCUUCUCGGGCACCUCGCCGGCAUUGCAUUGAAGCGGCGCCGCCCGCCGGCUUGUCCGAUCACGUCACUCUGACCGACUAGCCAUGACAACCCAUCUAGCCGUGGAAAGCCUGCUCGGGAGAAGAAAUUGGCUCGGUGGUGGCACAUACUGGUAAUAUUUGGUACGAGCUAACGAACCGGUACGCAACUUAAUUCACUUAGCGGUGGCAUCACAUGUAAAUUCUUGGCAACUCCUCCUUCGCUGUUUCGGAGGAGCUCAAGUUUCCCAGCUCCACGACUCCUAAAAAAUUACACUGCAAGUUUCGCCAGCUUCUCUCGCCCAUAGCCGGGAUUUCGAUCGUUCGGCUGCACUCCUGACAUGGAGUUGGGGAGCUGAGAAAAGGGAGGUCUCCCGAACACGCUCGGAGAUGGUAAUUCAAUCGACCCAACAAAAAGAGAGGCGACCAAGAAGGUCAAAAGGGGGGUCUGGGGGAGGAAGAGCGAGAAGGGGCGGUGACCAAAAUGACAGAAGUUUGAGGGCUUAAUGGACAAGAAGGAGGAGGCAUAUGUCAAGCACCUUAACAUCAAGGAGGAAAGAGAAUGCGAAGAGGUUUGUCAUCUUCAUGAUGGCGACGGAGAAGAAGAUCAGCCUCGAAAAGAAGAAGGCCAAACUCGAAGAGAAGAAGACCAAGCUCAGAAAGAGGAGGUUGAUCUCACAGCCACUUUUGAGGAAACCAAAAUGCUGAUCAUGAAGAUUGAUUAGUUGGAUCCCAACACGGCGAAGAUCGUGCAAAGACGUUGAAGCACUUGGCGAUAGAGAUGAAGGAGGCGGAAGCUGCGGAGAAGCCGACAACGAAGUGGUGAGGGAGAAGGCACGAACAACCAGUCUAGGAGGGCAAAAUUUGCACGGACUGCCGAACUGGCACUUUUGUGAUCGGGCACAUAUGAAAACUUAUAAACACCCGCCGUUCUUUUUGGGGUUUUGAACAUUGCAUGUGUAUGCACUUCUAUUUGGUUAUCAUAUUGCUAUUUUGACCAACAUUUUCACUUCAAAUGUAUCUAGAUUGGGUCGAACGUGACCGACGUUUUGGACACGCCGUUGGAUGCAUAUCUGUGGACUUAUCCACAGAGAAAUAGUGUGUCCGUUUUGUGGCACGGCGUUUGAGAUGCCCUUAGUGGAUUCCUCUGAAAAAUUUAAAAUUGGUCCAAUAUUAAUAGAAUAGAAGAAGAGUUGUUCCUAAACCACCUGCUCUGGUUACUCAGUGGCUCAACAUGUCUCCAGCUGAAGCUACCUGGAGGACGCCGACUUCAUCAAACAUACAUCUCCUGAAUUCUGAGUGAUUGUCAGAGCAUCUCCAACAGGCGCGCUAAAUAGGCGUCGCGCCGUAAAUAUACCCAUUUUAGCGUGCGCGCAACCCGGCGGAUGGCUCCAGCGGGCGCGCAAUAACCGCGCGCGCGGCAGAAAGCGGUACCUCGCGCGGUGUAUUUGCGGCGCCCGCUUUCGCACGCGGCACACUCGACGCUCGCGCUGCGCUCUUCUUCUCCCCCUCCAAAGCCCCGGGCGCGCCGGCGCCGGCGACCCGCACCCAUGGACGCACGCGCCGGCACCCCUCUCACCCCGNNNNNNNNNNNNNNNNNNNNNNNNNNNNNNNNNNNNNNNNNNNNNNNNNNNNNNNNNNNNNNNNNNNNNNNNNNNNNNNNNNNNNNNNNNNNNNNNNNNNNNNNNNNNNNNNNNNNNNNNNNNNNNNNNNNNNNNNNNNNNNNNNNNNNNNNNNNNNNNNNNNNNNNNNNNNNNNNNNNNNNNNNNNNNNNNNNNNNNNNNNNNNNNNNNNNNNNNNNNNNNNNNNNNNNNNNNNNNNNNNNNNNNNNNNNNNNNNNNNNNNNNNNNNNNNNNNNNNNNNNNNNUCAUGUCGCCGCGGAUGACCUCGGCGGCGGGUGGCAUCGCGCCGGCGCCGGCCCGAGCCGCCGCCCCCUCCUCCUCAAAGCUCCCCAAUGCGGCGCGGCCAAAGAAGGGCAAGACAUCAGCGAAGAAAAACAAGGUGGCGGACGGCUCCGGCACCUCCAAGAUGCCGUUGAAGAUCUUGCCAACACCGUCGGAGCUUCACGUGAUGCGGUGCGCGAUGAGGAGAGGGAGGAAGAUUCAUCUUCGAAGGCGGAAGAAUCGUCUUCCGAAGAUGAGGACGAGGACGAAGACGAGGACGAGGACGAGGAAUGAUGUGUCUCUUCAUUUGUGUAUUGAACUUGAUUUGCAUUUUGAACUUGGUUGGAUGAACUUGUGGGUAUGAUUUUAAACUUGUGGGCAUGAACUUCAUCAACCUGUUUUGUGUGAAAUUUUUAUUGUGUUGAAAAUGUUUAUCAUUUUGUGUUGAAAAUGCUAUAUGCAAUACACCGGCGAGUUGCGCGCGCUGUAUUUUAGCGCGGCUGCUGGAGCCAGCGCUGCGCGUCACGCCAAACCAGGCGAUGCGCACGUGGCAUAUCUAUUUUUUGCGCGCGGCACGACCGGGCGCCGGUUGAAGAUGCUCUCAUGACCUACAUCAAGCCUGCAAUUCGCCUACUCGGACGAAACUGAAGAAUUCGACAGUUGGACUGAAGAAGAGCCGAACCGGUGCGCUAAAUUGAUGGACGCUCAAAGUAUUCCGUCUCGAAAGUGGCGAUCAGCGGCUCUCAUCGACCAGGCCAAGCCAGCGACAGACGUUUCUAAAAAAAAAAAAAACAGCGAUAGACAGAGACGUUCAUAGGCUCCGUGAUUGCUGGCACCAACCAGCCAUUAAACCCAGCCGCAUCCGGUGGAUCGGCUUCAUCUUCUCCUUUCCCCAAGUGUAAACCCUAGCUACUUGUAGCCAACCUCUUAAUUCAGGCUAUCCGUGAGUGGAUUGAUCCGUCAAUAUCGUGCUAUUUCCUCUGAUCUGCUGAUUGAUCCUCUAGAUCCAGCCUUUGGCCCUCUCUCCCUAACGCGUGCCCGAUCCGAUCGAUCUGCAGACGCAGAAUCGAUCGAUGGGGUCCUUCCUCUCUUCGGCUGCCGGUGCCGGUGCCGGUGCCGCGGGCGAGGCUGAUCAUGGCGCACGCCCCCUCCGCUCUCCUACCAUAAAGGAGUGCACCCGCCGUAUGACAAACCAGGAGCUAGCUCGGUUAGACGGAUACGAUCCAGUAAGCUUCCAAGAACUCGUGGCCAGAGCAAAUGCUGGCCACCCCACGUUGGCACUAGAGUACGUUCCUCCCACCUACACGCUCAUUACCCCAGUCCCAGCUAGUUAGCUACUCCCUCCGUUCAGAUGUUUUAGAUAUUUUAAUAUAAAUUACAUAUGGAUUGAAAUGAGUUAAAAAUAUAUCUAUAUACUCCCUCCGUUCAGAUGUUUCCAAAAAAUACAACCCAUUUAGAAAAAAAUAAUACUAUUUCAGUAUGGACUAUGUGCGGGCUGAAAUGAGUUAACAAACACACUAACACCUAGUUUGGCAACGCAGUUUUUUCAAAACCACAGUAUUUCAAAACCUCUGUAUUUUAAUGUGUGGACAAUAUACUUUGGUUUCUCAAAAGUAUAGUUUUUCUAAGUUUUGGUAAAACCGUGGAGGCGUUUGGCAAAGGGCAGUUUUAUUAAGUUUCUCUGAUUUUGACAGAUUGUUCUGUUGUUGCAUGGAUAAUCUUGACCAUACCUAGCUGCACUCACGGCUGGAUCAACUCGUGCUAACGGCCGCCGUAUGCAUGCUGGGCAUGGGCACGUUCUCUACUGGAUGCUAGGACACAUAGUCGAGUUAUCUUUUGUGAUCCAUCAAAGAUGGAGCAUUCUGACAGGCACUGAAGGUGCAGCUUGCGCGUCUAGAAGAAGCAGUGGUAAAAAGGAGCAGGGGCUAAUAAGUCAUCCGUAUGUGUACUCUGGCCAGAUAGAUCUAUCAUCUAGCAUGUUCACCCGCAAAAAUCAUCUAGCAAAGUAUUGGUCAUAAGAAGAUGAACUCAAAGAGACCAAUGAGCCAGCGUUUCUCAGUUUUAAAAAAAGAAGUCCCGACCUCUUUUUCAAAUACUACAAAAAUACCACAGUUUUACAGAUACUAUGGUUUCUUAAGCUACAAUAUUUUUUUUAUCCAAACACCUCAAAGUAUUUAAUACUGAAGUUUUUGUAGAAACCACAGUAUUACUAGAAAACUUCAAAAAAUACUUAGCUCCCAAACGCACCCUAAAAUGUCUCUAUAUACAUCCAAUUCAGAAAAAGGCUAAUCGUAGAACAUCUUAUAUUUGUGAAUGGGGUAGUACCCAAUUUCUUCUUUUCUAUAUUUAAUUCAAGAAUUAUGUCGAAUAACGAACGAACGAUAGGACCAUGUUUACCUUUUGUUCUGAUUGACAGCAAGGUCGACUCCGCCGCUGUUUGUAAGCUUGUCCGCUGCGCCCUCAAACACUACAACUCCAAAAACCCGGUAGGUACUCCCAGCAACUCAGGGGACCUAGCGGCUUCCCAAUUCUACAAUCUUCAGUUUCGAUCCUCUUGGAUGUGCAUCAUCUGCUAGUACUGUCUUGACGCAGGGCGCCGACUUCGAGUAUCCCGCCGAGCUGACCACGGAGAUGAAGGCCACUGGUAUCAGUUUCAGGGAACGUUUCUGGUACCACGUCGGUUUCUUGGCGCGCCGGAGCUUACAUUUUUUUUUUUCACUUUUCUCUCCAUUUUUUUCCUUGGUCCCUGACCGCCACACACUUUUUGUUAUUACCAUGUUCUCCCUGCUAUGAAUCAAUGAAAUAACUAGCAAUUGCUGGACAGUUUAAAAAAAAAGAUGAUGAGUUCCAACACUUCUUUGCCGAGCUACGCUUCAAUGAGUGGACCCGCAGACCAAAUGUUCAAACAUGCACCAUCUUAGGUGCAUAAUCAACCAUACCAGCUAACCGUGCUGUAUAUAUAUGCAAUUUGAUCAACCCUAGCUAAUUCUCUAUAUGUCCUUCCCUAUUUAUGUUGACAGAAAAGCCGUUGUGCCGCUUCAGAAGCAGGUGUGCUUUUUGUACAGAUGGGUCUAAGAUUUUGCACCCAAGCGAUACGGAAUUUGCGUGUGGAAAGGAGGGGCACGAAAAGAAAUUCUUCAGCAAGAAGGAUAUGCAAGUGUGGCCGAUUGAUCCUAUGAGACAUGCAUCGCGGACGUAGGAUAUUUAUAUGAUGUUCUUUGUAUUUGUCAUCCUUGUUGUUUAAUUUCCUGGAUCAUAAGAGAAAUAAAUUAUUGUCUGAGCCUCACCGCGCACACGAUCCUUGCUUUUUGAGCAUGAAAGACGUCUAUAAAAUUUGAGCAGUUGGAGAACUAAAUCAAAAUGUAUGCUGUAAGCUAGAUUACCACAAUCCAUGUGCUGACUCUCAGACACUCUGUUCAGGAUUAAACUUUGGUCAUUGGACAUAGGUGGCAUAUGGAAUCCAUAAGCUGACCCUCAGAUACUCUGUUCAGGAUUAAACUUCAGUGCUAUAGGCUUCUAUGCUUAGCGAUUAAAAACCGCCCACCCCCGCCAACGCCAGCCCUUCCUUUAUAACCAGCCCUCCUCCACACCUCCCAGAUACACAACCAACACCACCACCCUCACAAGAAGGCAACUGCGCAGGCGACGCCGUUGCUUCCGGUGCCUCAGCCGCGACCACGUCGUCUUCGACUGCCGCAACCCCGUCCACUGCGCCCGCUGCUGGCGGUCUGGUCACCGGAGUUUCAGGUGCACAGCCCCUCGCCUGCUUCCUUUCUUCCCGCCCCUACCUCGCAACCCUAGAGCUGACCUUAACCCCUCCUUCUGCCUCCCGAGAACCAUGAGCCCGGACGCCCCUACUCGCGACGACCACGCUGCCAGUGACGCCCAUGCAGCACCGUCGGAGGCGGGCCUGGUGAUCGGAUCCAUGCGCCUCGACGUCAACCCUACGGCCACCUCGCUCCCUCUCCGGCUCGGCGUCCCUACCACGCCACGACGCAUCGCCGAGCCUGAUCUCCUCUGCCCAGAGCAGGCCGUCGACCUCAACUCCUCGCCACCGGAGUUGUCCGUGCCUGUGGACAGUACCGCGGUCAAGCUGCGCCUCCACCUGGUCAAGGCCGUCCGUGACCUUGAUGACGCCGCUGCGGCCACCGCAGCUCGCCUCUCCCUCCUUCCCCCAAACCCCACACCCACUACCCGCUCCACGGACUCCGGCUCCUGCUUCAACAGGGGUCCUCCGACCUUUGCACCCAUCCCACGCCCCACCACUCCCCCCCUCAUCGUAGCUCCCCCCACCUCGUCCAAGACGACAUUGCUCGCUACGCCUUCGUCCACUUCGAGACCCCAGUGCACAACCCUUUCCCUGACAUCCGCCGUGUCCUACGGGAACGCGCUGGUGACCCGCUCGUCCGCGUCGCCGCCUCCUUUCAUGGAGCCGCUCUGGUGUCCUUUCCCAACGCUGCUGCCCGUCAUGAUGUCAUUCGCCGCGGCCCCCUUCAUCUCCAUGGCAACACCAUCACCUUUGAGCCUGCCGAGGAUCACGGCCGCUCCACCGCCCAGUUCGAGGAUGACCUAACUGAGCUUGAGGCCAUCGGCUUUCCCCUUGAGCCGUGGCAUCCUGCUGGCGUCCACUUUGUUCUUAACUUCCUUGGCCACAUCUACACCAUAGAUCAAUAUUGCAUCAUGGAUGAUGAGCGCACAUCCAUCCGUGCCACGGUUGCUCUUUUCAAGGGCACAAAGCUCCCCGAUGCCCUCACCGUCCAGCUCCCGAACCUUGACAUACUCAUGGUCGAUUUGCAUGAGCACGGCAAAAUCUCCCGCAUCGGGCCCAGUGACCCCUCUCCUUUCUCAUCCGACGAUGGCAGCUCCGACAGCAACCAGGAGGGCUAUGGCUCCGUUGGCAGCGCCUCGAGCCUGGGACUCCUUCGUGCCACUGCUGCCAUGGCCGCUCUUGGCUCGAUUGUUGUCUCUCCCGAGUUUCCUCAAGGCCCGCCCUCCUCCCCCUCCCGCAACGCCGACCUCGCCGCCAAUGCCUUCGUGCACCUCGCUCUUUCAUCCUCUGAUGAGGAUGUGCCUGUGGCCAAUCUGGGCCUGGCCUCUCCUGUCGUCCUGGAUGACAUCCUGCUUAACAUGCCUCCCCAUCCAGUAGAUCUCUCUCACGCGCCCUCCGCUACGUCACCUUCACCACCUUCACCGCCUGUGCCUCAGAUCAUCUCCUCCCCCUCCCCUAGCAACGCCUCCACUCUGCCCACUCCACCUGCAGCUCCCACUCCUAUCCCCCCCGCUGCCGCUGCCUCUGGCGUGCUGCGUACCUACGUGCGCCGUCUGCGCUCCGCCGCGGCUCUGGCUGCACCUGUCGUGGCCCCGGAGGCUCCGAUGCACGUUGCCGUGGCAAACAAACGCCGCAACGCGAAGAAGAGGGCCAAGGAUGUUGUCCAUGUGCGUCGGAGCACGCGCCUGGCCAAGCUUGAGCCAUACGGGCGUCUUCACAUGGAGGAAAAGGCGUCCAAGGCCAAAGCAAAGCGCAUGGACCUGCUGCUCGAUGCCAAGGACUUUGAGGAUGCCGUUCACGAUGCCAAGCUGGAUGAUGACGACCUGGAGCCGGCCUCCCCUCAGUCCUGGCUGCCCUGGCGCAGGCCUGCGGCUCUCCCAUGGAGGAGGUCGAUCUCGUCGCAUCAGCAGCGACCGCUGCCCGCCUCUGAUCUUGCCAUGUGGGCUCUAUCUAUCUAUCUGUAUUGUAGUUUGGUGUCAUGUUGUUUCCUUAGAUGAGUAAUGCUACCUUAUCAGUUUGUUCCUGGAACAUUAGAGGUCUGGGCGAUGUUGACAAAUGUACGGAUGUGCUCUCCGAACUUUCAUCUAUUAAACCUCAUCUGCUGCUUCUGCAAGAAACGAAACUUGCUGCCCCGUCUAUGCUCAAAAUCAGAUCUUUUCUCCCUCGGUCUCUCGAUAUGCAGGUUACGCUACCAGCUACUGGAACUUUCGGUGGGCUGCUCACAGCCACGAACUCCUCCUUCCUUACGAUUCUCUCCCACACGAACUACGCCUACUGCUCGACGGUUCAAGUACAAUCUUUGGCAAGCCCCCUAACUUUACACAUCACAAACGUGUAUGCCCCCAUGAACCGCGCACUUAAGCUUGAAUUCCUAGCUGAAUUGGCCUCCAUCGCUCCACCUGAUCACUCCCCUUGGCUCCUCGUCGGGGACUUUAACCUUAUUCGCUUCCCGAACAAGAAAAACAACAACAACUUUCACUCCAACGAGGCCACUGCCUUUAACGAGACCCUUAACACACUUGCCCUCCUAGAACUCCCCCUUCUAGAUCGUCGGUUCACCUGGUCUAACAACAGAGAAUCACCGGUGCUAGAACGCCUGGAUUGGGCUUUUUUUAACCUAGCUUGGAAUAAUGCCUUCCCCAACUCCAACCUCACGACCCUCACACGCACCACCUCCGAUCAUGUCCCCCUGCUUAUCUCCCUUUCCACCUCCGUACCGCGCUCCCGCCUUUUCAGAUUUGAACGGUUUUGGGCCUCGAGACUAGCUUGUAAACAAAUUGUAGCCCAGGCCUGCAGCAUGCCCCAAGCACCCACCUCUUCUGCCUCGGCCCACCUAGCCCAUAUCCUUCAAACCCGCCGCUCCCGCCUAAAGCGAUGGGCCAAAACCCUUUCCCCCGCCCAUGUCCGGGAAGCUAGGUGCAAACGUGUAAUUGAUCUCUUAGACCGAAAGGAAGAGCGCCGGACCCUAACUCCAGCAGAAUUCUGUCUUUGUAACGUCCUAAAGCUUACUCUGCAAAGAGCUACUCGUGAUCGAUCCAUUCUCCUGCGCCAACGUGCUAAGUUUAAAAAAGCGACCCUUGGUGAUGAAAACAAUAAAUUCUUCCAUGUGUCAGCCUCCCAGUGCUUCCGCAAGAACAAAAUCCCGGUCCUUAUCGAUCAAGGAAUCGAGUUUCACUCUCAUUCAGAAAAAGCCCGCAUUCUCAAAUCUUUUUACCAUAAUCUACUUGGUGUCGCUGUAGAUACUAAUUGGAGUUUCAGCCUUGCACAACUCUACCCUACCCAAAUCCCUCAACUUCGACACCUUGACUCGAACUUCUCUGAGGAAGAGAUUAAGAUAGUUUUCCUUCAAAUGAACUCCAACGCCAGCCCUGGUCCUGAUGGUUUUGGUCCCAGUUUCUACAAAACCUUUUGGACCAACAUCAAAACCCCCCUCCUUGCUUUCUUCAAAGACUUUGAGAACAAAACUGCGGAAACCAAGCGUUUCAACAGAUCCACUAUGGUCCUACUGCCCAAAUCUACCAAUGCCCAAUCUGCAGACAAGUUUCGCCCUAUCGCCCUCCAGAACUGCCCCAUCAAAGGCAUUGCCAAAGUUCUUACCAACCGUCUAAAAACUUACAUUCCCUUGCUUGUUCAUGGGGACCAAACUGGUUUCAUCUCAGGAAGAUGCAUUGCCGAAAACUUUAUGUAUGCAGCAGACCUCAUAAAUACUUGUCAUAAAAGAAAAGCCACUGCGAUGGUGCUAAAACUGGAUUUCAGAAAAGCUUUCGACUCUGUGUCUUGGCAUGCCCUUCUCCUCAUCCUGCGGCAUUGGGGAUUCCCCAGCCGUUUUUGCUCCUGGAUUUCAGACUUGCUUACCUCUGGCAAAACGGCUGUCAUGCUUAACGGUGUUCAGGGUGAUUGGAUUAACUGCAAAAACGGCCUGCGCCAAGGCGACCCCGUGUCCCCUACCUUUUCAUCAUUGUUGCAGAUGUUCUUCAGCAGCUCAUUCUAACCGCCAACGCAUCUUCCCCCGACCUUCGCCACCCGAUCUACCCUGAUCUCCCACCGGCCAUUUUACAGUACGCCGAUGACACGCUCAUUAUCACCCAUGCUUCCCCUAAUGCCGCCAUUCUUCUUCGAUCUCUGCUGGACCAGUUUGCUCAGGCCACGGGUCUGCAAAUUAACUACUCAAAAACCACGUUUAUCCCUAUGAAUCUAGACAAUGCAAUCACUCUCCAAAUAGCUCAAACUCUAGAUUGUCCUGUUUCCAGCUUUCCACAAACUUACCUAGGCCUGCCGCUCUCCCCAGUUAAGCUGACUGCUGCGGCCUUUCAACCAAUUAUUACAAGCUGCGUUAGUUACCUUCCUGGUUGGUGUGCUAGACUCCUUUCUCGUCCCGGUCGUCUGGUGCUCGUUUCCUCUGUGCUAGACUCGUUAGCUGCGUACUUCAUGUCUGUCUUCAAACUGCCCAAAAAGACGAUUAAAAAGUUGGAUGCCAUUAGACGUGCGUUUUUCUGGGCUGCCAAUGAGACUUGUUCAGGUGCCCAAUGCCUUAUUGCAUGGUCUAACAUAUGUAAACCAAAAGAGUUCGGUGGUCUAGGCAUCAAAGAUUUAUCUAUACAGAAUGACUGCUUGCUUAUGAAGUUUGCUUACAAAUUCCUCGCCACCACCUCCCACCACGAAUUACCCUAGGUUGUAUGGCUAAACAGAGUCCACUUAUACAGUAUCCCACAGAUAGCUUCAUGCAAAAACCCAUCCUAUUUAACCAAGGCUGUGCAAAUCCAACUUCAGACUCUCUCCUCCAUCACCUUCAUCCUCACAAACAACGGCCUUAAAACUUUCUUCUGGCAUGACACGUGGCUUGCUCAUGCUCCCCUUGCUCAGCUUUUUCCAGGACUUUAUUCUCAUUCCACCAACAAACACAUCCUAGUAUUCCAUGUCAUGCAGUAUGGGCUACUUAUGAACCUAACGGAUCGGCUAACCUCGGCCACCUCGCGCGAGCUGGAUGCUGUGUUGUUGUUAUUGCAGGACUUUUCUCUGUCUCCGAGCCCUGACGAGAGGCAUCUGAUCCACGGCUCUUCAUUCUCCUCGCGAGCUGCUUACAAGCUGCUCACUCAUGAGAAUCAAGAACAUGAUCACGCCAUCUUAAUUUGGCGCUCAAAGGCGCACCCGAAGCUGAAGCUCUUCGCUUGGCUACUCUUCCAUGGCCGCCUUAACACCAAGGCAAACCUGUUCCAUAAGCACAUUGGCAUGGGUGCUAGGUGUCCACGAUGCUCGGCUACCUCUGAGGAUACAACACACCUUUUCAUCACAUGCCCUAAAGCAUAGCUGGUCUGGCUGCAGCUCGGCCUCACUCCAACUGUCAGAACUCCAGAUCUCUGGCUUUCUGCACUCCCACAAGGCCUUGACUCUUCUACAUGGCCCGAGGUGCUUCUUGCAAUUCUGUGGAAAAUCUGGGAUUCACGGAAUGCUGUUGUGUUCAGGAAUGAAGAUCACACUGCUAUCUUCACAAUAUCCAACAUUUGUAAUGACUUUGCUCUUUGGACCAACCAGUUCCAUGUACCGGUAGAUAAGGUUUCAGCCACAUCCUGGCUGACAUACCUCUCCUCACGGCUUGCUGUAACCCUGUAAACCCUCUCCUCGGCUUUCGCUGAGCUUUGAGUAAUAUAAUUCAGGUGGGGAUCCUCUCCCCCCCGGUGAUUCCUCAAAAAAAAAUUAAAAAAUGAAAAUGGAACAGAGAUUUAAAGUAUUGGACAUCAAGUUCCUGUAUGGCUGUAUCAAACCUAUGAUAGUUGUCCUCUACCAGGUUUGCUCAAACAUCAGCAUUUCUUUACAUUGUUUCUAGUAUCAAACACCAAAUCAACUGCAAGGCACUGGUGUAAUGAUGAAUAUGCACUUGCAAUAUUUAUAGAGCUUACCCUUCUGCUCAAGCAGAGCAAAUACGGUGUAUAGGUUACACAUUUAAUCCAUGGUGUUGCUUUUUUAGUCUUAAAGUGUAAUCUGCUCGCAACUUGCAUUCCUUAACUGCUUAUACAUGGUAUACAGUAUGUUACUGGUGAAUGUUUGUAGGAUUGAGUUUCUAGAUUAGUGGAUACAUUGUCCAGUGAUUUAUUUGUUAUCGACUAUUCUAGAUUAGUGGAUAUAUAGUACAUAUUUGUGAUCCUUGUUUUGACAUGUCGACUCAAUUCAAUACUACUGGGGAUAAAUACUCGGUAUUCUUUGUGAAACAAAACAAACUUCCUUUUUAUUGUUCUGUUACUCACUGUGAAAUCUUGAAGUUAACCCUAUAGAAACUUUGGACCGGUUUUAACAUUUAACAUCAAGUUGUGCAAUUGGUGUACUGAAAUAAUUUAAUUAUUAUCUUCUUAUCUUUUGGACACUGACUUGACAUACCUUCUCUUUAUUGCUGAUGUGCCCAACCUUCUUGCUUUAGGUUUACACCUUCGUGUUUCUGUUACGAAUAAUUCCACUAGUGAAACAGUAACAGAACUUGAUGAAUUAUAUUUCCCAUACCUGCAUGUCCGGAUAAUAAAGAUGCAAGGCAUGUUAAGACAUAUGAUGUUGCACUGAAGGAGAAAGGCUUUGUAGACGGUCCGUGGUGUCAAAAUUAUUGGCUAGGGGACAGCUAAGAAAGUUUUGGAAGCUACUCUCCCACCCUCACCCCUAAAAAAAAAGGAAAACCAGUUACAACUAACAGGGCACUGCACCCACACAAAAGUAUGCCUGCAUGUGCAAAAAAAUGUGUGCACUUACUGGAAAAGAGUUUCAAUCAUCCUUUAUGUUGUUCCUUAAAAUUAAAAUUUGCAGUAAGUUAUUCAUUGCUCUUGACAGCUGGUAAAGCUGAAUCUCCUACCUGAUGCAUCUGGUUCAUUUGUUGAAAUCCUUCAACGGUACCCAUUGUGGACUUCUGCAUGGUUCACCAAAAGGAUUUUCAGUCAAUGUUGCAUCAGCUAAUGCCAGUCAGGUUGAUAUCUUCAUGGGAUCCCCCUCUUUCCCUUUGGGCAAAUGUCACCUCUUCGAGUAGGAGAUGAGGUAUUGCCAGUACCCAGUGAUGAGAUGACAUGCUUAUUAAACAUUUGUGUGUGACUGACAGAAUACCACUUCGGGUAUUCAUGUUUUAAUUCUUCAUCGAGACAAAUGAUUUUUUUGCGGCAAAACACAAAUCAAUUUGACUUCACAUCAAUUUUAGCUUUCCACUUUAAUUUGAAAUACCGGCCCAUUAUGUGUUUGCAGGUCCUAACUCAACCUGACCGCAGCUACCAUUAUCAGUAUCAGUCUGCAUUUCGUUUGUCUUCAGCAAGAUGUUCUUCGGGCCCAUGCGUCUCGGGUCAUAUGACUGGGCUAGAAGUAACGCGGAUACUUGAUGCUAAUACACUCGUGACCUCAGAUGGUAAGUGGGAAGUUCCAUGUUUUUGGUUUUCUUCUACGGUUCAAGUUCCCAUUAUUUCUACACAUAGCUAAAUGACAGUCGACUGAAUGUCAAAUUGAGGUCAGUCGAUUUUUGAGAGUUCGCCGGAGAAAGGCCGGAGGGGAGGAAGGAGAAGGAAGGGCUCAACGAAGGGCUACCCCAUUAUUUAUCUUAGGGUUUAGGGUGAGGGCGGUGGGGGGGCUUCGCCAGAGAAAAAAAGGGGACACGGGCGGGGCUAGAGGGAUGGCUAGCGGCGCGGUAAGACCGGCGGUGGGGGGCGGUUCAGGGGAGGGCGGUGCGGCGAGGCGGUUGCGGGAACGCCCGCGGCCCGGCCGGUGGUAGCAGGUGGCGAGAGGAAGACCGAGCAUGAUCUGUUUCUGUUUCCAGGAGGAAGAAGACGUGAGCAUCACCGUUCGUUUGUCAUCCAACGGCUGAAAAUGGUCCCAAUUCAGUUUUUCAGGCGACUUACGUUUAGCCAGUCCCGAGUUUUUCUUCCGACGCAAUCUGCUCUCAGCCUUGGAUUCAGUCUGAGAAGUCAAUAAUCAAAAUGACGAGCAGCAUUUUUCCAACGUGAGGAUGUAAACCUGAAACUAAAGAACAUUCAUGAUGUUGCAGGGCUUCUUUGUUUAUCCUUUGGGCAUCAUCGUCUGUGAAGCACAUCACAGUGAAGCAGUGACUCGAUCGCCUUUUGCUGCUUUUGGUGAGUUACUGUACUCAUCCACCCUCUUCCCCAAUCAGUUAGGACUUAGGACACCACGAUCAUUGCCCAAUACAGACAGUGAUGCCAAGUUCAAGCAGAAAUGAUGUGAGUGUGACUCAAAGAAAGUUAAAGUGACAAGAUUCAUUUCAACACAGUGAAGUACAGUAGGACACAAACAGCCCCGGGGGUUUUAUCCUCCUUUUCGAGAAAAAAAUAGUAGGACACAAACCGGAAACAACACACAUAUCGAUGGUAACUACAAGCAAUGCAACGAGCAUGUUAUUCUCAACACACUGAAAAAAGAGGCUGCAACCCCGCAAACCAUGUGCCAUUUCAUGCACCGGCGGCCGCCGGACUCACGUAGACGAAGGCAUCCAGCUCGAGGACGGCGCUCCCCCCACGCCAGCUCGCGGUUUUCCAGAGCACGUACCCCGUCGCCAUCCUGAAAACCCCGGUCCCGCCAACCACCGCCAGCUCCCGCUCCGGCAUCAUGACGUUGUUGCGGCCCAUCACGGCCAGCGAGCUCCCGUUGUAAGGCCCGUCGGCGAGCAGGACGUUCAUGGUGAGGAGCACCGCGGGGUCGCCCUGAGACGCUGUCACGUAGAAUCCCUGGGCACGCCCAACGACUCUCGAGGCCGGCGUAGGGCCCUCCGUGAGGCGGUCGUCCAUGACCAUUGUGUCACCGAACCGGGCGCUGCCGCCGGAGCCCUUGAGCGGCUGGCCGGUCCCGUUGGCGAUCAGAACGGUGGUGGGUUUGGGGCCAGUGCUGGAGUCGUGCAUGUAGAAGUGGAGAUGUUUGGGGGCACCCUGCGUGCCCACGCCGUGGGCGGCGGAGGCAAAAAGGACGGUGGCCAUGCCGGCCGCGAGUAGCGUGGCUAGAGAUGCAGAGGUGAGGUGGGAAGCCAUGUUGAGCAUGCUUGGGAAGAGGCCGGUGUGUCCAUGUCCUUAAAUAGUGUGAGCCACCCAAGGUCGAUCAUUAGCCCCGAGGGUAGUCCCACGCUACUCGUCGGCCAACUGAUCUUUUGCAAAAUCGGCCUAGUCGCGAGCAGUUGGAUCGGCACGAUCGUGCGGCCCAGCGCCAGGCAGUAGCUUUACGUAUUCAAGCUACAUUUCUCUCAAAAAAAAACGUAUUCAAGCUACAUGUAAUUAAACUUAAUACUAAUGGAAUAAGUUAGUAAGUUUUUGUGACUGAAACUUGCUGAAAAUAUAAUUUUGCUUUAUUUAUUUAUUUUUAGUUCAUAAAUGAUAUUGUUAGAAAGAUCCUGACGUGCAGUCUUAGUAUUGAAGUGAAAAUAAUGGCAAUAAUUAUAAGUAUGCACUAGGAGAGUCAUGUCAUUUCCUUAAUAGUACAAACUGAAACAAACUUGUAGUUUGCAACGACCCCCCCCCCCCUCGGUCACACGCGCUGGCAACCCCGGGGGGCGAAACCCUAGUACCCAACUUCCUACCCACCCCGAGCUCCCUUAGACGCUGCCGCUGCCGGUGUUGGCGGUGAUGGCGGCGCCCGGCCACCGAAGGGGGCGGGCACGGUCGGCGUGCCCCGACGAGCCUCCCUCGCGCAGGGGAGCGGCGUCAUAUGGGCGGCGUAGGGUGGAUUUGAUGGCGCAUGGCGGAGCUAAUGGCGCGUGACCGAGAGGAGGAGGCGGCUGGGGCUCGCGGGAGGAGAUGGUCGCGGCACGGUGGAUCCUUCAGGAGGUGACGGCGCGGGACAAGCGGGCGGCGGCACAAUGAGGCCAUGGCGGCGUGGCGGAGCUCGCCAGGAGUGGUUGCCUUGCAGCGGUCGAGUAUGUCGCGUCCUCGAAUGCCUCCGUCGCGGUGCCUGCUCCAGGUCGCGGUUGUGGAAGAUGGAGGCGGUGGCGUGGGCUUCUGCCGGAGUUGGCUUGACGGCUGCAAUGUGCGGCUCGUGGCAUUCCUUGGUACAGUUGGGAGGGAGUUCUGCGAGUUCGCAACCGCGGGGGAGGUUAGUUGUAGGGGUGUUUUGCUUCUGUCUGUGAGGGUCUUCGGUGGACCAGGACAGCUCGGCUAUGCCGGCGAAGUGCUGCAACAACGGCAGAGUGGUCAACUUGAACGGUGUGGCCCCAAUCCGGAGGGCAAGGAUGGAGGUGUGCGGCAAUUCAGAAGAAAUUCUAGGCCGCAUUCGGUCGGUAUUGGUGGCGCCGGCGCCCGUGGGUGUCAUUUUUCUCCUUGGAGGCGUCGCCCAGGUGUGUCGACAUCUCCCUCGCUCGCUCAUGGGCUUGGCAGAUGUCUUCAGGCAAAAGCCUAGGUUCAGAGUUGAACCGGCGUGAUGACGACGUCCUCAUCGUCACAACUCUGUUGGGAGCAUCGCGCUUGAAGGCCAGGUCUUGAGGUUCCUUGUUGCGCUACUUCCGAUGCUCGCUGUUGUCCAAGGUUAGCUUCAGAGGCACAAUGUACAUCGCAGCCGGUGAUUGGGAACUGAAACCCUUCCCCCGNNNNNNNNNNNNNNNNNNNNNNNNNNNNNNNNNNNNNNNNNNNNNNNNNNNNNNNNNNNNNNNNNNNNNNNNNNNNNNNNNNNNNNNNNNNNNNNNNNNNNNNNNNNNNNNNNNNNNNNNNNNNNNNNNNNNNNNNNNNNNNNNNNNNNNNNNNNNNNNNNNNNNNNNNNNNNNNNNNNNNNNNNNNNNNNNNNNNNNNNNNNNNNNNNNNNNNNNNNNNNNNNNNNNNNNNNNNNNNNNNNNNNNNNNNNNNNNNNNNNNNNNNNNNNNNNNNNNNNNNNNNNNNNNNNNNNNNNNNNNNNNNGCGGGCGACCGGUCGCGCGUCGGGCCUCCUCCCUCCAGGCUCCCCCCCUCCCUUCUUCCUUCUCGCCGCCGUCGCAAGCGCUCGCGGCCGGCUUGGUCCUGGGGCUGUUGGUGGCGGCGGCCUCCUGGCCCUUCCCAUCCCGGUCGCUCUCCGGCGCGGGCGGAGCGGCUCCGGGGGGUGCAUCUAGGCGGCGGUGGUCUGGCGUGGCGGCAGGGCUCCGUGGCGCAUGCAGGCGAGCAAUUGGGCGGCGGCGCCGCCGUUGGCGGCGGGAUCUGGCGUCGUCCGCUCGGCCCAGAUCUGGGCCUGGGCGGGCUGGCGGCGGGGAUGGCUCCGGUGUGGCUUCUGGGAGGCGAGGGAGAUGCGACGCGUGGCUGGGUGCCGGCGGCGACGACGCCGACCUGCUGCAUCAUGGCCGGCGGGGCUUAACGGGCCUGCUUCGGGCCUGGCUGGGCCAAGGGUGGCCCGGCAUGCCCCGCUGCCGCGUCCGAACGGCUACCGCGACGGUGCCGGAGGCACGGGCUUCUUGCACGAUGGCGGUGGAGGUGGUUCCCUCCCGCUCGGCGUCGAUGGUGCUGCUCCUGUCGUGGUGAGCUUCUCUCCGAUCCUCUUGGCCUCGUGGUGGUUUUUGUAGUGAGGCGGCUUGGAUGGCGGCGCUACUACGUUGGCGAUGGUGUUGGGCGACGGUUUGGCGGUCGGUUCCGUUCGGUUGGGCGGUUGGGGUUGGAAUGCGGGAGAAAUCCCUGCCAGCUUCGGCCCCAACGCGGUGACACCUGCGGGUGCCACCAUUCCUCCCUGGAGGGUGUCGGUGGUAUCCACCCCCCACCUCCCUCCGCGUGCCCGGGGAAACUUGAGGACUCGUCCGGGCAGCAGCGUCGUCGGCGUCGGAUUCCUUCUUGGAGGUGAUGCUUGGUACGCGGCGAAUCGAAGCCUCGGUAUGUGGUGUUUUGUUUCCGGUGGACGCCACGGUGGCGGGUCAUCCGCGCUUUGCCAAGUUGUCGUGGUUGGCAUUUGUUUCUUCUUCUUUUUCUCUUGGUGUGUUGUGCUGCUCGGCACAGCGUUAUCUGUACUCGGUGUUGGUUGCUUUGGAAUAUAAAGCGGGAGAAAACCCUUUUUCAGUAAUGUACGUCGCAGCCGGUGAGAUCAAGACGGUGCUUUAGUGUACCGACCAAUUUCCGCCAUCUACUUGCCACCUACCUUUUGACAUCAAGGGUGGAUGGUGUGUCGACCAGGGAAGUACAGUUGGAGUUAUUGUUGUCUACGGAGGUGACCGGCGCUGGUCGAGACGCGACGAUGUUAGGCUUAUUUUGCUUUGUAGUUGUGUUUUGGUGGUGGCUGUCUUCGGACCAGCCCUGUCGUGGAGUCUAUGCUACGCUUGUUAUUUGUAACAAGUCGUAGUUGUCUUGUAAUUACAAUUCCGUCUUCUAUAAAACAAGGUACGCAUUCGCGUACUUUUGAAAAAAAAAAGUACAAAUUCCAAUGGUGACUAGCUUCCUGUCUAACUAGUUCAAGUCCUCGAUAGGUUGCCUUCAUAAGUAACAAACGCUACUGGGAAGUGGGCGUGGUACUCACCUGGUCGAGUAGCAUCUUAGUCGUACAAAUCCCAAUGGUGACUAGCUUCCUGUCUAACUAGUUCAAGUCCUUGAUAGGUUGCCUUCAUAAGCACCAAACGCUACUGCGAAGUUGGCAAAAGUCCAGGUGUUUGCAUUGUCAGUACACAGAACCAUGGGGAUACUGAUACUCGUACGAUGUCACCAACCAUGAAAUCAACACGGCCACCAAAGUGAUAUACCGACUCUAGAACGGGAGGAGAGAGAGUAUUUAGAGAGCUGAAAUCUCCUCCACGGACAAGACAUAUGCCUGUGUGCGAUAUGAUUGUCUGUCGGAUAAGAUUACCCUUUUUUGAAGAUAUGAAUAUAUAAUGAAUUAUGAUUUGGUUAGGUACAAUUAUAAAUGCCUAACAUAUUAGGUAUGACAUGUAGAUUUGAUUAAUAUGAUUGGUCUAGAUGCAAUAACUAUAUAGAUUUAACGAUUACAACCUACAGUAUUUAAUUAGGUGCAAUUAUAAUGACCUAAGGGCAUCUCAUGGGAGACCUUUAAAACACCGAUAUAUGUUCGGCCGGACACAUUUGUUCACUUUUGCAGUUCAAUGGGGACUUCUAUCAGUCCAGGAAGUUGUCCGGAUGUCAAAUUUUGGUAUUUUGGAGACAAAAACAGGGGAGCUUUGCCGGAGCCUGGACAUGCAAUUGAGCAAUCACAUGCAUGGUCCCCUCUCUUCUCUCUCCUUCCAACCCACAAAUAUUCCACGACAUGCAUGGUCCUCACCUACUUUUUCUCCUCUCAGCCAAAUACUUUGCAAUUUGCGUUGGAUUGCUCUCUCUCGUAUCAUGUCUGCGAACCACGUCCGAACAUAAAACCGGACAAACACCGGAGAAAUUUAUAGGUCAGUGUUGAAGAUGUCCUAACGGUGUGAUAUUGCAGCAUUAAUCUUAGUUGAUUGUGUGUUUCAGUGCCUUUAAGUUCUGCAAGUUAGGCCAGGAGAAGCUGCGAGGACCAGUUCGGCAAGGAGAAAAGUAGGCAGGAGGAAACCACUAUGCGGCAUGCCAAGUGGACCUGACAACUAGGACCCGCCGGUCAAAAUGCUCACAAAAUUUUAAACAGGGUAAACUGUGGCCAAACUUUUUCUAGAUGGGGUAAAACAGACGGAAUCUCGCUAAAUGGGAUAAUUAGUAUAAAAAAUGUCAAAACAGGGGGUAAAACCCGGAAUUCACUAUAUAUGAGCUUGGUAGGCAUGCAUGUAUAGAUCCCUCUCCUCUCCCCUGUCUGAGAUCCUCGUACUAUGUAGCAAGAGGAGUGGAGCCUCGUUUGUUUUGAUUUUCUUUUUCUUAGGUUUUAUUUUCCUGGUGGCAUCGAUGGUCGCGCCGAUGACAUAUUGGAAUAAGGUCACUCUGACCCCUCCCUACAUCAAUGAUGUCCAAUCCGGCGUCGACGAAGGGCCUGUGAGAACUUGUGUCGCCAAAUAUGUUGGCUCUCUUCGGAUCUUGGUAGUUGAUGUGUCUAUCAAGGAGAGCAUUUGGCUGGCUACUUGUGCGGCGUUUCGACAUCUUCUUUCAUGUUGUUAUGCUGCAUGGUUCGGUUUCUCCUACUCUCUAGACUGGUGGUGAUGAAUUGCAAGCCUGUUCUGCAUUAGGUGACGCUCCAACCAACGAUUCUUUCAGUGAUUUCUAAAUCUCAUAUCAAGCGGCGAGCGCCUAUUGUAGUCUUUAAACUCUAGUAGGGUGUUUGUAACCGUCUCUUUCCUUUACUGUUGGUUCAUUGCAAUUUUUAAUCUCCACGGGCAGCGCACAAUUGGAGGAAGAAUAAGGCUAGGCACUAUAGAGAGAAGAGGAGUGAGUGCUAGAUUUGAAUGAUAAUUGGGUUGGUAUAUUCAAACCACGGGGUGCAAAGCGACUACAUCGGGCAAGUUCACCAUAUGGUUCUUUUUGGACUUCAUGCAGGCAACGAACAUGCACCCGUUAUUUAUUUUAAAAGAAAAGAACCCAAGAAAACUUCAGCGGAAUAAUAAAGAAGUUUAAUCGGCGCAAAGGUUCAACGAGAUCGCUCCAUUAUUGUUCACACUGAGAAUUCAGUACCAUUAUUGUUCUCACUGAGAAUUCGGUAAAUUUUGUCACACCGGAUUGUGCCUUAGGAUAGCACCAUUAUUGUUGUCACCGAGAAUUCAGUAAAUUUUGUCAGCAGGCUGUGCCUUAGGAUAUAGUUCCAUUAUUGUUCUCACCGAGAAUUCAGUAAAUUUUGUUGCAACAGAUAAUGCCUUCAGAUUUCGCAGAACCAGCACACGUACAUUCUCAC
Molecule: long non-coding RNA, 50223 nt
Filed under: Triticum aestivum (bread wheat)
Lineage: Eukaryota; Viridiplantae; Streptophyta; Magnoliopsida; Poales; Poaceae
Description: long non-coding RNA (TAES_LNC001131)
Source: RNAcentral